UUUAUUUUUUUUUUUACUUUUGUUCAUUUUAUUUUUAACUGUAAUAAUUAUUGCAAUUUGUGAUAUAUUACACCAGCAAUUUUAAGGAGAUUCAUAUUUUGUUACAGUUUGAAAAACAACGGAUAUCAAGAUGCAUGGGGAUCUCAACAUCACUAAUAUCUUCAAGAGAUGGAAAGCAAGAGAUAACAAGUAAAGUAUCUUUCUACUUGCUCAACUCAAGGGAAUGAAAGGUAAACAAUUUUCUACUUGUUGUAGAGAAAAGGUAAAAAAUUACCUAGUAUUUGUUAUGAAUAAAAUGAUAAUAUAUUUCAUAAACAUAAAGUGGUAUUUCAAAUUCUCAAAAUAGUGGGGCUAAUUAAGUGAAAAGAAUAUCAUCAUGAAAAAUGUGAAGUUUGCACUUUUGAGAAUGUGUAUAAAGAAAGUAUUACAUGCAAGUGCAUAAUUAGUUUUGGAAAAUCACAUGUUACUAUUUAUAUAUGACUUGAUGUCAUUAAAUAUUGGCUUUAACAUAUUAUCAAAGAGAGAAUAAAAAAUGUUGAGUAGCCAUUUGACAUUAAAUAUUUGGGUGAGAUCAAUUUCAUUCUUGGAAUAAAAAAUAUCUAAACUAUGUGAUGAACUUUUCCUUGACAUGUCACAUUAUAGUGAAAAAGAAGAAAUGUGAAAUACAUUUUAUGAUCCAUGCAACUUCUUUUGAUUCAAAUAUGUCAAAAUGGUGUGAAAAAAAAAAGAGUUUACUAGCCUAAUAAAAGAAAAAUGAGAUAUAUGGCUAUUUGCAUUUGGCAUGAAAUUAUGUAAAAGUACUUAAACAGGUUACACAAGCAAAUCAAGUAUAUUUAUUUGGUUAAAAAAAGUUGUGGCUUGUUAUACUUAAAAGUGUUUUUGAUGCAAAAUGAGGGGAAAAAAACUUGGUGCUAUUUGUAGAAAUGAAAAAUCAAAUUAUUAUUUUCUAACUUUAACGUGGAGGUUGAACUAAUUAUUUUAGUUUCAACUAGUGCAAAGGUGAAUGAUCAAUUGGUUUAUGUUGAGAAAUUGAUUUCUCUAAUUUUGAGUUAUUCUGAUAGCACCAAAAUUUAUUGGUAGAGUAUAAAUCAUUAUUAUAAUAUAAAUUCAGACCAUAAGGAGAAAAAAUACAAUAUUGUAAGAUCAUAUCGAUCAACGGUAUACCGAUAUUAAUUGUGUUAACUUUGUGAUAAUUUUGCAGAUUCAAAACUAAGGCCUUAGCAAGAAAAUGGUAUGAAUCACAUUUAGAGGGAAGGAAUUGAAGCUCAAAAAUCUAAGUCAUAUAUGAGGAAACCCAACCUGGGGACUAGAGAUCCUAUAAUCAGGUUCAAUGGACAGAACGAAUCAUAUGAUGACUUGUUGUAAAUGCACUAUUAUUUUAUCCCUCUCUAUAGUGUGAGUGCAUUUUGUUCCUGUAAUGAUUCUGAAGGUUGAGUCUAAGAACUCUUAAUGAAAUUUUGUAUCUCGUAUGAGUGGGGUGUCGAAAUUAUAGGACCACCCUUGAUAGAUUUUACCUAUGUGAGUAUGGAAGUAGGCCACUUCCUAGGAGAAUGGGGCUUAUUCUCAAAAACGCUCAUGAAAAAUUGGGAUAGCACAUGGACGUAACGUGUUGGCUAUUAAAGCUUAUGUCAACACGUUGAUUGUUGUGUAUAAGCAGUAAUUCCUUAUAUCCCUUAAGGAAUCAUAGUUCAAGUCUGAGACCACUACUGACUCUCGAGUAAAGUUUACUGUUUUACUAAGUGGAGGUUCAAUGCAGAGCACAACUUUAUUAUGCAUAAUAAUCUACCUUCAACUAAAUUGGUGAACUCUCUUAUUUCAAUAUUAGAAUGAGUGGGGGAAUGUUGGUGCAUUUUAUUAUUAAAAUAAAUUAAAGUGCAUGACAUUAGUAGACAUAAAGUGGAGAAAGUGAUGUCAUUAUUUUUGUAACUCACCACAUUAUCUUUUUAAGUUAGUGGGUACAAAUUAUAGUAAAGAUGACCAUUAGUUCUUGUAACCCAUAUGGUCAUUAGUUCUUGUAACUCUCAUGGAUAUUAGUUCUUGUAACUUUUAUGAUCAUUAGUUUCAUGUAACUCUUGUAACAUUUGUAACCUAUAGACCAUUCAUGUACUCACUUUACUACAUCAUAUUUUUCCUAUUCAACUAAUUCGGAGUUGUUUGAGUUGUACAUCAUUGAUGGGUUGUUGUAUCCUGGAGGGGACAAGUCACGAGAUAUACUCCUGGAUCGGUGUAGAUUAUGCCGCAGUGGGCUUGAAUCUCCUUAAAGAGAGAGAGAUAUCCACGCCUCAGCCAAGAAGUAGAUAAUUUUAUUUUCUUCAUUUUUGUUCAUUUUAUUUUCAACUGUAAUAAUUAUUGUAAUUUGUGGUAUAUUACACCAAUAUUUCCUAAAUCUACAGGAUCAAUGUGCCUUAAAAAUAAAUGAAAACGUACGUAAUAGAUUUCUUAAAUAUUAUGAUCAUGGUAAGAUCACACAACUCUCAAAAUUGAUCUGUGACCUUGCACUAGUAUGAACCUAUCCUUGUGGGUGGGUUUGGGGGUGGGGAUGGGGGAUGGGUGGGGUGUUCGGUAGUGUUAUUUUACGGGUAUAAAAUCUAUAUGUUCUAUACAAGCUUCAACACUAAGUUCAAGAAUAUUUUUUUAAGAACUACAAUGAAGUUCAACAUCUUCAAACACAAGUUCAAAUGAAUAUUCAAAUGAACUAUCAAAAUGAAGUGUGUAUCAACUUUUUAAGAAAUAAAGAGGAAUUAGAAAUUUAAGAACCAAGUCUACCGAUUUCACGAUUUGUCCUUAAUAAAUUAAUUCUCCUCAAGUACCCAAGGUUAUGGAAUUCCGAGAUAAAACUGUUCACUUUUUGAAAAUAACGGUACCUCAAACUUUCAUAAACUCCAAACACACUUAAUGGUUUGAUAAUCACAUGAGAGUUUUAGAAGAAGAAGAAAAUUAUUUUCAACUCAAAAAUCGUACCUUUACCUAAGAAAUAGUUUAGGUAUUUAUAACCAUUAAGUGUCCCUUCAGCAAGGAUGCAAUGGUUCAUGAAAAGGGACACGUUUUUGAAAUAAUAUGUCACUUGCACACGGUGUGUGCUGGUGUCACGACCUAAAAAUUAGGAUCAUAAUGGCACUUGUCCAGGUGUACCUUGAUAAGUAAGCUAUCACCCAAACUAAUACAAAAUGAGAAGAAGAUAGAAAUAUCCCAAGGUAAGGCUUCUAGCUAGAAUGAAGCCGAACUAUAUAAAUAGUCAUAACAAUGUGGAAAGAACUUAUCCAAACUACCAAUCAUGCCCAAACCAGGUGUCAAUAACGUAAGAACUACUAAUACAAUCCAAGAGUCAAAUACACCAAAAAAAUAACCACAAAGGAAUAAUAACUAUCUCCGAAUACUAAUAAAGACAUAGCUAGUAUAGAAAGAUAGAUGUGAACUUUGGAUGCAUGAAUGUCCAACCGCUACCUUAAAAGCUCCAACAAUCGCCCGAAUCAAGUAAGUUGAGGUGCACUCGGGCUAGGACCUGGAUCGAAAGGGCACAGUAGGCAUGAGUACGGUCCACUUGUACUCAGUAGGUAUCAUAGGUCGACCAAGAAAAGUAGUAAAUAAAGCAUACAAAAUAUACACUAAGGGCACGUCACCUGCAAUCAGAAAAUGCCCCACAAUGAUAGCCCACACUGCUUGCACUAACAGUUCUAAUAUAUCUCAUAUUUAUUAUAAAAACACACCAAGGUAUAGAACACGAGUAUACAUUAUGUCACAUAUAAAUAGAACAAGAGAGAACAUGUAGAUAUAAGAUCAUCAAUACAAGUAAAGGAAGGUAAGACAAAUGCAUAGAUGACAAGUCAAUAAGGAAAUACAACACAACAUAAACAUAAUAAGAUAUGUGCAAUGUAUAUGAUGAUGAUGAUAAUGAUGAUGCACGAGGUCGUUGCACAACCUCCGGGAUCGUUGCACAAUUCCCGUAUACACUUACGGAGCUAAAGCUUCCCGACGUAGGACCCAUGGGGGGUUCAUUAACCCAUAUACAAUCAACAUAUCUCCUAUCUCCUUUUCGACAUAUCCCUCGAAAAGGGUUUUAUAAGGCGUUACAAUAUUUUUUAAAAAGGUGUUGCCAGUGUUUCUCAGAUGUUGCCAAGGUGGUACCAAUGUUUCAUGAAUGAGUAUGAUAUGAAGAUGUAAUGCUCACAACCAAUCACAAUGAGUAUUUCCACAACCAAUGACAUGAUAUAAUUCCACACCCAACCACAAUGAUACAUUCCCACAGCGACGUUAGCCAAUAUCCACUUAUUAUUUUUAUCUCAUCCAUGAAUUUUCACAUGUCUCAUAUGCCAAUAAAGUAUGAAUAUAAUCAUAAUACACCAAUGGUACCACAUUAAAAAACACAAUACAAUUAUUCACACAUAUUCAAAACUAUCAAUAUCACAUAGGACCCCACACGGUCAAACAUAUCAUAUAAUAUCUCAAUUUCGAUAAUUACAUCACAUAUAGGCCCCAUACGGGCACAACACAUAGAUAGCUAUUUUUCAUGAUUAGUUCCUACCCUUAACAUGCAUUUUAUACCAUAAUUUAUUACCCAACCCAGUUUGAAGAGUUAAGCCAUAACCUACCUCGAAAGUCGAAACUGGUCCGCUAUACUUGAACCCGCGACCUUACCUUUCACGAACAAUCUUGAACUUCACUAAAAAUAUCAAAUAUGAAAUCUACGCGUCAAAACAAAACCUAUGACACUCAUAUUGACUACUUUUGGUUUGGGGUUAAAACGAACCCCCAAAAUGAAUUUUCGAUUAAAAAGGGCAAAAUUGAAACUUUACUUCAAAAAAUGUUCCUCAUAUUUUUAGAAACCUACAGCUGAAAACCCUAGUUAAAUCGAGUUAAAAAUGAGGUUCAAAUCAAAGAAAAACUAUUUUUGAGUUUUACCGGGUAAAAUCUUUGAAAUUCAGAUUAAAAAUCAAGAAUCGAAGUUGUUUUGAAGGUUAAAUUGAUGUAAAACUAGUAAUUAUAAGAUAAAAGUAUUAUUCAAGUGAAAAAGAAUGAAAUUUGGGUUUAAAAUCAUGCCUUAAAAUUUUUAGGGUUUUGAAAAAUUUAUCAAGAAAAUGGGUGAAUUCUUACCUUUAAUCCGUAAUAAAACCAAGAAAAAGGUAUUAAUCUAGCUUCCCAAGCUCCCACAAACUUUACUUUUAAGCUCUCACACUAUUUAGGGUUUAACUUCCAAGAGGCAAGAAAAAAAAAGAGCAAAAUAGGGCAAGAAAAAGUUAUUUAUCAGUACAGGUUUUUCUGCACUACUGUCUAAAAAGUUGUUUUUUUUUUAAAACUCAAUCUGGACUUCAACGGGGUGCCCGAAAUAUGUUCGGAGUCCGAUUUAUACAAACGAACUAUGUAACCACUCUAAAUUCGAUGUUUCGAACGUAAUGGAGAUAUCAGAUUUUCAAAAAAAUUUCAUUUUCAUAAAAUUGACCCCCAAAAUCCGAAAUCACAAUUUUCCAAACUGAGGGUCGAAAUGAGAUUUAAAAGCCGUAAAAUUAUACCAAAUAUGCUAACACCCUAAAAUUGAUAUUCCAGAUCUAUUGGCGAAGUCGAAUUUUUCAUCCGAGAUCAUUUCGAUCAAAUGUGGGCCCCACAUCCAUAUUUUGAAUUUUCCAACUUUUUGAUCAACAGGUCGAAACCGGGACCCGAACCAAAGGUCUACCUAGCCUAAAAUUGAUAUUCCAGAGCUUCUGGCGUAGUUCGUUUGGUCAUCCAUCGGAUAGAUCAAAAUAUAUCCAUAUAAGUCUAAAAUAAGGCUCUCAAAGCCAUCAAAAAACACAAUAUUACAUAAAUGAUACCAAAAUUCAUCGAAAAUCAUGUCAAUCUCUCCCACACCCUGAAAAUAUCAACAUGCAACUAUGGGGAGGAGUAAAUUAGUCAAAUCACACAAAAUCGCAAAUUUCACAUAUUUCAUCAAAUUUUUAGGUCGUUACACAUCCAUCACUAAAAAUCUAGUUCGUCAUCGAACUAAGGCAAGAAAUACCUGAAUCAGUGAAAAGCUGGGGAUAGAACUACGCAUAUCAAACUCAACCUCCCAAGUAGCUUUAUCUACAGGUCGAUGUCGCCACAGGAUCUUAACCACAGGGAUCACUCUAGAGCGCAACCGCCUCAACAAAGGACAACCGCUUAUCUAAUCGAAUCGAAUCCCAAUGAAUGACAUGAGACUCAUCAGGAAUAUAGCGACAAAGUAUAGAAACAUGAAAAACUAGAUGAAUAGUUGAUAGAUCAGGGGGAAAAUCAACCUCAUAGGCCACAUCACCAAUAGUCCGAAGAAUCUCAAAUGGACCAAUAUACUUGGGGCUAAGCUUGCCCCUCUUCCCAAACCUCAUCACACCCUUCAUAGGUGAAACUCGAAGAAAAACACGAUCACCAACACCAAAUCUUAAUGCACGAAGUCUACGAUCAGCAUAACACUUCUGCAUACUCUGAAUCGCUCUAAGUCUAUCUUGAAUGAUUCGGACCCUAUCCAAAGACUAACGAAGCAAGUCCAUACCUCGAGGUCUCAACUCUGACACAUCGAACCAACCUACUAGAGAGCAACAGCGCCUACCAUACAACGCCUCAAACGGAGCCAUAUCAAUACUGGAAUGGUAGCUAUUAUUAUAUGCAAACUCUGCUAAAGCCAAAUGCUGCUCCUACUGGCCACCAAAAUCCAUCACGCAUACGUAAAAUAUAUCCUCCAAAACUUGUAUACUCCACUCUGACUGGCCAUCAGUAUGGGCGUGAAACACUGUACUAAGAUCCACUCAAGUACCCAACUCAUCCAGAAAAGUCUUCCAAAAGUGAGAUGUGAACAUAGGACCUCAAUCUGAAAUAAUAGAAACUGGCACACUAUGCAGAUGCACAAUCUCAUAAAUGUAGAUACGACUAACCUCUCAGCACUAAAUGAGACCUGAACCAAAAUAAAAUGAGCUGACUUGGUCAAUCGAUCCAGGAUGACCCAAACACUGUCAGAACCAUGAGAUGUACGAGGCAAACCAGUCACAAAGUCUAUAGUGAUGCGUUCCCACUUCCACUCAGGAAUGGGUAAACUCUGAAGCAAACCACCAGGUCUCAUAUGCUCGGUCUUCACCUGCUGACAACAUAGGCAACGAGCCAUAAAAUCUGCUAUAUCUCGCCUCACACCACCCCACCAGUAGUGUUGUCUCAAAUCACGAUACAUCUUAUUCACACCUGGAUGGAUAGAAUAUCUGGAAUAAUGGGCCUCCUCCAAGAUUAACCUAAGCUAGUCACCCACUUUCGGCACACAAACUCGGCCUCUAAUUCGCAAAACUCCAUUUGAAUCAUGUGAGGCUUCCUUAUCUUCUCCACUCAAUACCUUGUCUCAACUCAACCUCAAUCCAACAUCAUUAAACUGAUGAGCUCGAAUCUACUUCAUCAAAGAAGAUGUAGCAUCCACAAAUGCCAAAAUAUGCCCCGGUGUUGAAAUAUCAAGUCUAACCAUCUGGUUAGCUAAAGACUGAACCUCUAAGGCCAAAGGCCUCUCCUGGGUCAAAAGAUAUGCCAAGCUACCUAUGCUAGUCGACUUUCGACUCAACGCAUCCGCAACAACACUAGCCUUUCCCGGAUGGUAGAGAAUAGUCAAGUCAUAAUCCUUAAGCAACCCAAGCCAACGGCUCUACCUCAUAUUAAGAUCUCGCUGAUUAAAGAAGUACUGAAGGCUAUGAUGAUCUGAAAAAAUCUCACAACGGACUCCAUAUAAGUAGUGCCUCCACAACUUCAAGGCAAACACAACUCCAAAUCAUGGGUAGGAUAAUUCCUCUCAUAAGGCUUCAAUUGAUGAGAUGCAUAAGUAAUUACCUUGCCCUCCUGCAUCAACACGACACCUAACCCAACACUUGAAGCAUCACAAAAGAUAGUAAAGCCCACGCUCGCCUUAUGCAAAGCUAAUAUAGGAGCUGAAGUCAACAAAUUCUUGAGUUUCAGAAAGCUCGCCUCACAAGCAUCGGACCACAGAAAAGAAAUCUUAUUCUAGGUCAACUUGGUCAAUGGACUGUAAUUGAUGAAAAACCCUCAACAAAAUGUUGAUAAUACCCAGCCAAACCAACAAAACUCUGAAUCUCAGUGGGCGAAGUAGGUCUAGCCCAGUCACGAACCACAGCAACCUUGGCUGGAUCAACCAUAAUACCUUUCUUAGUCACCACAUGACCCAAGAAAGAAAUAGACUCCAACCAAAACUCCCACUCAGAGAACUUAGCAUACAAUUUCUCAUCCUUCAAUCUCUGAAGCACAAUUCGGAAAUGCUCAUCAUGCUCAACCUCACUCGUGGAAUAAACCAAGAUAUCAUCUAUAAUACAAUAACAAAAGAGUUAAGAUACGAUCGAAACAUUUGGUUCAUCAACUCCAUGAAUGCGGCAGGGGCAUUGGUCAACUUAAAGGACAUGACCAAGAACUCAUAAUGGCCAUAUCGAGUCCAAAAAGCAGUUCUCGGAAUAUCCGAAUCUCUAAUCCUCAACUGGUGAUAACCAGACCUCAAAUUAAUCUUUAAAAAAACCACAGCACCCUGGAGCUGAUCAAAUGAAUCAUCAAUGCGAGGAAGAGGAUACCUAUUCUUAACCGUCACCUUAUUCAACUGUGGAUAAUCAAUACAUAUCUGCAUAGACCCAUCCUUUUUUUUUACAAACAAGAUAGGUGCACCCCAAGGUGAAACACUAGGUCGGAUAAAUCCCUUACCCAACAACUCCUGCAACUGAUCCUUUAGUUUUUUCAACUCUGUUGGGGCCAUCCUGUAAGGAGGGAUAGAAAUGGGCUUGGUGCCCGGCUUAACAUUAAUAGCAAAAAUCAUUAUCUCGAUCUAGAGGCAUACCAGGCAAGUUCGUAAGGAACACGUCCAUAAAAUCAUAGACAAUACGGACAGAAUCUAAAGAAAGAAGAGAAACAACACUGGUGUCAUGAAUAUGGGCCAAGUAAGAUAAACAUCCCCUCUCAACCAAUUUACGACCCUAAACAUAAGAUAUAAUCCUCUUAGGACCCGAAUGAAGUGCACCCUUCCAAGCUAUCCUUGGCACACCCGGCAGAGCUAAAGUCAUGGUCUUGGAAAAAUAAUAUAAGAUAGCAUGAUAAGGAGACAACCAAUCCAUACCUAAAAUAACAUCAAAAUCGAUCAUAUCUAACACAAGCAAGUCUAUCAAAGUCUCACGCCCGGCAAAAGUCACAACACAAGAUCAAUGAGCCUGAUCCACCAUGAAAGAAUCACCUACCGGGGUAGAUACAUGAAUAGGCAUGGAAAAAGGGUCACUAACAGAAUCAAAACUCGAAGUAAAAUAUAUGGGCACAUAGGAGAAAGUCGACCCGGGAUCAAAUAAUACAAAUGUAGGUCUGAAAUAAAUGGGAACAAUACCUGUAAUCACAGCAUUAGAAGCCUCUACCUUAGGUCUGGCUGGUAUAGCAUAACACCGACCAUGACCACCAACUGCCUGGGUAGCCCUACGACCACCAAUUGCCUGAGUGGACCCACAGACACCUCCAUGAGCUCUACUACCUCUACCUCUUCCACCUCUGGUAGUACUCUUACCCCUCACAGAUGAAAUAAGAGUAGCUUGAAUCACCUGGUGGGGAAAGUCCCUGGCCACAUGGCUAAUCUCAUCACAUACAUAAUAACUUCUACGACUAGUCUCAAUAGAAGAAGGAACAACUGGGCCCGAACGGCCACCCUGAAUUGCUAGAUUGAAAGGUCCACCACCUAAACUCUAUAAUGCCGCCUGUACUGGCCUACCAUGGUAACCACGAGAACCUCUAAAAUUUCUGCCUUGAGAGGUCUGACUCCUGAACUCACCAAAAUAUCGCACAUUCUUGGCGCCUCCAUAAGAUGCACCAAGAAUACCCUCUAUCAUCUUAGGAUGAUCCAUAAUACUCUGAAAAGGAGCCCCAAACACAACCAUCUGAGACGUAGCCAACUGAAGAAAGACAUCCAAACCCUUCACAAACUUUUGAAUAUUCUCAGACUCAGUAGAAAUGCUAUCAUAGGAAUAUCUGGAUAAGGCAUGAAAGUGCGCCUCAUACUCAGUAACUGUCAUGAAGCCAUGCUCCAAAUGAUCAAACUCGUCCCGCAUACGGUCUGUUAAACUAAAAGGCAUAAAUCUCUCUAGGAAAGCCUCAGUGAACUGAUCCCAAGUCAUCUCAGGAGAUUCACGGGGUCUAACACUGACAAGCGACCUCCACCAAUCUCGCAUUGCAUCUCUCAACUGAUAAAAGGUAUAAGCAACUCCAUAAGACUCGAGUGAACCCAAAUUAUGCAACUUCUCUCGGCAAUCAAUCAAAAACUCAUAGGCAUCCUCGCCCACUGCGCCACUAAAUCUGGGAAGACCCAAUCGAGUAAACCUCUCAAACCUCUUCUGAUCCUCAGAAGACAUCACUGCACUAGCCAUAAGAGAGGGCAUAGUAAAUCCGGCAGACUGUGAUCCCAUCUGGGGAGGUAACAUGGAUGACGGUUGGGCUCCUGAUCUUAGAAACCCAUAGUCAGAUAUCGGUACUGAAGGAGGAAUAGGACUCGAGGUCUGAGGAGUACCUAAACCAUAAGCAGGUACGACAGGAGGGUCCACACUCUGAACUGGAGGAACACCUAGCAUAACCAAAGGAGAACCAUUUAGACGGGUCAACAGAUGCACCAACAAUUCCUCCAACACUGGGGCAGACAAACUCUAAAGAACUGGGCCCACCCCUCCAACCUGCUCAACCCGAGGCUAAGGAUAAAUUUCCCUAGCACUCCUCAUAGAUGGGGUUGUACCAUAAGGUCAUCCCCUCCCUCAAGUUCGUCUAUGAAUCGAGGCUCGUCCUCAGAGUGAAGGCUCUGCAUCACUACUCUCGUGGGACCUAGUCAACACCAUAUACGCAGAGAGAGUGAAACAUAACUCAGAACACAAGAUAUGGAAAAACUUUGCAUGGUAAGGAAUAAAAAUAAGAAAAGUUUCCUAAAGACAUUCUAUAGCCUUUCAAAGAUAGAUACGGACGUCUACGUGCCGAUCUGUGAGACUCUAUUAGACAUCUCGUUCUUACACCAUUAAGACCAAUCAAACCUGGCUCUGAUACCAAUUUGUCAUGACCCAAAAACUAGGGUCAUGAUGGUACUUGUCGCAGCGUACCUUAACAAGUAAGCCUAUCACCCAAACUGAUACGAAAUGAGAAAAAGAUAGAAAUAUCCCAAGGUAAGGCUUCUAGCUAGAAUGAAGCCGAACUAUAUAAAUAAUCAUAACAAUGCGGAAAGAGCUUAUCCAAACUACCAAUUAUUCCCAAAACCAGGUGUCAAUAGUGUAAGAACUACUAAUACAAUUCAAGAGUCAAAUACACCGAAAAAGUAACCACAAAGGAAUGAUAACUGUCUUCGAAUACUAAUAAAGACAUAACUAGUAUAGAAAGAUAGAAGUGAACUUCGGAUGCAUGAAUGUCCAACCGCUACCUUGAAAGCUCCGACAAUCACCUGAAUCAAGUAAGCUGAGGCACACUCGAGCUAGGACCUACACCGAAAGGGCGCAGUAGGCAGGAGUACGGUCCACUUAUACUCAGUAGGUAUCAUAUGCCAAUCUAGCAAAGUAGUAAAUAAAGCAUACAAAAUAUAUGCUAAGGACACGUCACCUGCAAUCAAAAAAUAUCCCACAAUGGUAGCCCACACCGCUUGUACUAACAGUUCUAAUAUAUCUCAUAUUUAUUACAAAAAUACACCAAGGUAUAGAACACGAGUAUACAUUAUGUCACAUAUAAAUAGAACAAGAGAGAACAUGUAGAUACAAGAUCAUCAAAUACAAGUAAAUGAAGGUAAGACAAAUACAUAAAUGACAAGUCAAUAAGGCAAUACAACACAACAUAAACAUAAUAAGGUAUGUGCAAUGUAUAUGAUGAUGAUGAUGAUGAUGAUGAUAAUGAUGAUGCACGAGGUCAUUGCACAACCUCCGGGAUUGCCGCACAAUCCCCGUAUACACCUAUGGAGCUAAAGCUUCCCGACGUAGAACCCAUGGGGGGUUCGUCAACCCAUAUACAAUCCACAUAUCUCAUAUCUCUUUUCUGGCAUAUCCCUCAGAAAGGAUUUUAUAAGGUGUUACAAUAUUUUUUUUAAAAAGGUGUUGUCGGUGUUUUUCAGAUGUUGCCACGGUGGUACCAAUAUUUCAUGAAAGAGUAUGAUAUGAAGAUGUAAUGCUCACAACCAAUCAAAAUGAGUAUUUCCACAACCAAUCACAUGAUAUAUUUCCACACUCAACCGCAAUAAUACAUUUCCAUAACCACGUGAGCCAAUAUCCACUUAUUAUUUUCGUCUCAUCCAUGAAUUUUCACAUGUCUCAUAUGCCAAUAAAGUAUGAAUAUAAUCACAAUACACCGAUGGUACCACAUUAAACAACAUAAUACAAUUAUUCACACGUAUUCAAAGCUAUCAAUAUCACAUAGGACCCCACACGGUUAAACAUAUCACACAAUAUCUCAAUUUUGAUAAUUACAUCACAUAUAGGCCCUCACACGGGCACAACACAUAGAUAGCCAUUUUUCAUGAUUAAUUCCCACCCUUAACAUGUAUUUUGUACCAUCAUUUAUUACCCAACCCAGUUUGAAGAGUUAAGUCAUAACCUACCUCGAAAGUCGAAACCGAUCUGCUACACUUGAACAUGCAACCUUACCUUUCACGAACAAUCCUGAACUUCAUUAAAAACAUAAAAUAUGAAAUCUAUGCGUCAAAACAAAACCAACAAUACCCAUAUUGACUACUUCUGGUUUGAGGUCAAAACGAACCCCCAAAAUGGGUUUCUGAAAAAGAAGGGCAAAAUCAAAACUUUUCUUCAAAAACAUGUUUCCCAUAUUUUUAGGAACCUGUAUUUGAAAAUCCAAGUUAAAUCGAGUUUAAAACGAGGUUCAAAUCGAAGAAAAAUCAUUUUUCAGCUUUACCAAGUAAAAUCUUUGAAAUCCGGGUUAAAAUCAAGAAUCGGAGUUGUUUUGAAGGUUAAAUUGAUGAAAAACUAGUAAUUAUAAGAUAAAAGUAUUAUUCAAGUGAAAAGAAGUAAAAUUUGGGUUUAAAAUCAAGCCCUAAGAUUUUUAGGGUUUUGAGGAAUUUAUCAAGAAAUUACUAACAAAAUGGAUGAAUUCUUACCUUUAAUCCGUAAUAAAACUAAGAAAAAGGUGUUAAUCUAGCUUCCCAAGCUCCACAAACUUUACUUUUAAGCUCCCACACUAUUUAGGGUUUAACUCCAAGAGUCAAGAUGAAAAAUGAGCAAAAUAAGUAAAGAGAAAGUUAUUUAUCCGUGCAGGUUUUUCUGCACUGCUGUCUAAAACGCUGUUUUUUUUAAACUCAAUUCGGACUUCAACAGGGUGCCCGGGAUUCGUUCGGAGUUCGAUUUAUACAAACAAACUAUGUAACUACACUAAAUUCGAAGUUUCGAACGCGAUGGCGAUAUCAGAUUUUCAAAAAAAUGUCAUUUUCACAAAAUUGACCCCCGAAAUUCGAAAUCAUAAUUUUUCAAACCGAGGGUCAAAAUGAGAUUUAAAAGCCGUAAAAUCAUACCAAAUAUGCUAACACCCUAAAAUCGAUAUUUCGAAUCUGCUGGCAAAUUUGGAUUUUCCAUACGAGUUGUUUCGAUCAAAUGUGGGUCCCAUACCUAUAUUUUCAAUUUUUCAACUUUCCGAUCAAUAGGUCGAAAUGAGCUCGGGUGCACCGGGACCCGAACCAAGGUCUACCUAGCCUUUAAUUGAUAUUCCAGAGCUGUUGGCGCAGUCCGUUCAGUUAUUCAUCGCACAGAUCAAAUGUAUCCAUAUAAGUCAAAAAUAAGGCUCUCGAAGCCAUCAAAAACCAUAAUAUUGCAUAAAUGAUACCAAAAUGCAUCGAAAAUUAUGUCAAUCACUCCCACACCCCGAAAAUAUCAUAAUGCAACUACGAAGAGGGGUAAAACAGUCAAAUCACAUAAAAUCACAAAUUUCACAUAUUCCAUCAAAUUUUUAGGUCGUUACAACUGGACCUGCAGCCGCAUAUGACGUUUGGCGCAAACCAAUGGCUUCUACGCUAGACCUGCGCCAAGUCUACGCCCGACCUACACGCGCAGGUCGUAUUUUGCCGAAAUUUCCAUUAAACUUUGGGAUUAAAACUUCACUUGUUUUUCAAGUUUCAAUUAAACUUUGUCCAAAAUAUUUAUCUAUCAAUCAUUUUUUAAAGCCAAAGCUGAGCAACAACGGCAUGAGUCAUCUCUUGUUCUUGCCUCACUAUGCACUUAAAGGGGUGUUUCUCAAUAAAAACAUAAGAAAUUUUCUUUCCCCUACUAAUGUGAGAGAACUUGACUUUCCUAAGUGAAACUUCACAUUCCCUCCAAUUUGUUCCCUCCAUUUUUCAUUUACACAUCAACUUAGAAUCCAAUAGGUAGAAACUAAGGGGAUACCACUUUGUUUGAAAAAUAUUGUUGGGUGUGAGAAUAAAAUCCGAUAUUGAUAGCUGAUCAAAAAGAUUGAGAAACUAUAGAUGAGGUAUAUGUUAAUGGUGUAAUUUUUGAGGAAAAUCAUACUCAUUUGGUCCAAAGAGACAAUAUUAUAUUAAGAGCAUUUUUGGACUGAUUUAACCCACUGAAAUAAACAAUGAAAACGCAUGCAUUGACAUAAUCGCAUUUAGAAAAUGCAGUCAUUAGCAAUCCCAAUCUAUUAAAUAGUAUGUCCGCUGAUAGUUAAACCAACUUGGCUAAUUAUUAUAUUAAUUAGUACAUUAAUAGUCUUCUUAUUAUUUAAUUCAUUCAAGCUUUACAUCCAUGGAUAUGUCAUUUGCCUAGUGUCGUGGAUCAUACCAUCACCAUAAGUAGACUUUUUCCCACAGGCAGCCACUUUUGGACAAGUUCAAACCUUUGCACAUAUCCAGUAUCCUAUGUAUAUUAUUAAAAGUAGUCAUGCAAACACAUAAAUUAUAAGUUAUACGAAUCGUCAUUUUGUUAGAUAGUUAAUGAAUAUUUACAUCAUCGGGUUAUUUUACCUGUUGCGGCAUGUAAUUUAUUUUACGAAAAAGGGCCUAAAAUGUCCUUCAACUAUGUAAAAUGGUGUAAAAAUGUUAUUCGUCUACCUAUUGGGCCUAAAAUGCCCUUUUCGUCUACCUAUUGGACCUAAAAUAUCUUUCUCACCUAUCUAUUGGGUCUAAAAUGCUCUUCUCAUCUACCUAUUGGGCCUAUUUUGCCCUUUUACUUAGGCAAAUUAUAUGAAAAGGUUAUCCAUAAAACUUAAUUACAUAAAUAAUAGUACUUUUUUUAUAUUAAAAAAAUUAAAAAAAUCUUCAUAUAUAGCCAUUUUAAGAAAUCAAAAAAGAUAAUUAUAAUUCUUAAUUUAAUAUAUGCAAUAACUAAUUAUCAAUUCACCUUAAUUUAAUAUAUAUAUUUUCAAUCGUCAAAUUAAAAGUAGAAAAGAUAAUCCUUGAUUUCAAAUAUUUUUCUCUCUUAUAUUCAAAGUUCAUAUAUUUUUAAAUAAACUAAGUAUUCCAUUAUUUGUUUUUGUAUGUUUCGUUUUAUUUUCACAUAUGUUAAUCAUCUAGUAUUAUUUUAUUAUUGUGUAUUUUUAAUUCUAUUGUACUGGGGUAACCAAAAAUUUUUAUGGAUAAAUAUUUAUGGAAUAAAAAUUAUUCUGUUGGAAGUACAGAUAUAUAACAUAUUUUUGUUGUAUAAAUAUAAUUAAUAUAAAAGUCGGAUUAUUAUUAUAUUUUUUUAUAUAAUUUAUGAGAUAAAUAUUCAUGAUAUUUUUAAUAUAAUUUUUGCACCAUUUGAUAUAAUAUCAAACACCAUUUGAUAUUAUAUCAAAUGGUCCAAAAAUUAUAUCAAAAAUAUAAUAACAAUCUGACUUUGACAUUAAUUAUAUUUAUACAACAAAAAUAUAUGAUAUAUCUGUACUUCUAACAUAAUGAUUUUUAUUCCAUAAAUAUUUAUUCAUAAAAAUUUAUGGUUAACCCAUUACAUUAGAAUUAAAAAUACACAAUAAUGAAGUAAUACUAGAUGAUUAACAUCCAUAAAAAUAAAAUGAAACAUAUACGAGCAAAUAAUGAAAUACUUAAUUUAUUUAAAAAUAAUUAAAUUUUGAAUAUAAGAAAGAAAAAACUUUGAAAGCAGGGAUUAUCUUUUCCACUUUUAAUUUUGAAGAUUGAAAAUAUAUUUCUUAAAUUAAGGUGAAUUGAUAAUUAGUUAUUGCAUUAAAUUAAGAAUUAUAAUUAUCUUUUUUUAUUUUUUAAAAUGGUUGUAUAUGAAAAAGAAAAUUAUUUUUAUAAUGUUAAAAAAGUAGUAUUGUUUAUGUAAUUAAGUUUUAUUGAUGGUCUUUUCAUAUAAUUUGCCUAAAUAAAAGGGUAAAAUGGGCUCAAUAGGUAGAUGAAAAGGGUAUUUUAGGCCUAAUAGAUAGGUGAGAUGGUAUUUUAGGUCUAAUAGGUAGACGAAAAGGGCAUUUUAGGCCCAAUAGGUAGACGAAUGACAUUUUUACACUAUUUUACACAGUUAAAGAAAAUUUCAAGCCCUUUUCCAUUUAUUUUAUUUCAAAAGUACAAAUCUCAUAUCUAAAGUAAAUUAAUUACAUAUAAAUAUUAAUUAAUACUUAAGUGAUCUGAUAAAAUGAAACAAUUCUUAUAUUGAUGAUGUAUAUAAUAACUUAAACUAGUGAAAAUAUCCGUGCUUCUCGCGGUUAUAAAACAUAUUAUUUUUACAGUUAUGAAAUAAUUUCUUAAUAACCUUAUAAUUUAUUCCGAGUGUAAUUUUAUGCUUUAAAAAUUUUUACGAAAUUUUUCUUUUUCUAUAGUGGUACUUGGCUAGCUACUCAUUCAUAUAAUAUUCAUAUUUCAGGCAUACUAGUUUUUAUGCAUUAAUAAUUGUUUUUAAAAAAAUCUUUUGACAUUAAGGCUAAGACAGUUAAAGAAUAUACAAAAUACAGUGUCAUAAUAAAGGCUAAAUCUAAAAGUAUGUUUGAAAGAAAUGGUAGGAAAUUAGAAAAGCUAAUUAAAGAAUAAUAAAUACAUAUGUGAAGAACUAAUUACUUCUUAUAAAUUCAUGUAAUGUAAUGUAUAAUUAUGUUACCUAUUAUGGUCAUUAAUUGUCUAAUUGAAUUACACUAAAUGCUAUGAGCAAAUGAAAAUUUCAUCUCAAAAAGGUUUUAAAAUGAGAAAGUAACGAUAUAGCAAGUUAAAAGAAUAAAAAUGAGAAAGUUGAAUUAUUAAACUGAAUUCUUAAUACAUUUUCAAAGUGGAUAAUAAUUUGAGUUGCAUGAGUAAUAUUAAACAUGCAUUUUUUUUUCAUUUUUUCGUUCUGUUUUUAUCCUAAUUUUUUUUCACUUCUCCUUCUUCCCCAAUAAUAUAUCUUUUGUGAUAGCUUGUGCUUACUAAUUAAAUACAUGUUAAAGAAUAAAUUUUAAAAAAUAAAAUAUCCAACAUAUACUUACAAAAAAUUUCGGAUAGAUAUUCAUCAACCUAAGAGGGAGGUGAUAGUCAUGUCAAGAGACUUAGAAGUCCUAGCAUGCAUGCUAGAAUAAAAUUUCAAGAAUUCAAAUUGAUGUAUAAUUUUAAUUAACUUUUGAUAUGAUGAUAUUAAGUUUCCUAAGUUAAAUAACAUAAAUUCCAUCCCUGCUCACACUUUAUAUAUAUAUAUAUAUAUAACAAGACCUAAAACUUCAGAAAAUAUUAUAUUAGUCCAAAUCAUUGUUAUCCUUUUGCUACCAAGUUUUCAAAUAUGCUAGACUUUUUUUCACUAAUCACAAGCUAGAAGUUGAAUCCAGCAUUGUUAUGAGACGAUUUAGAAACAUAAUUUUAUUUUGAAGAAAUAUCAAACAUUGUUAAUUACGUACCUCGCCUUGGAAGUACCAAGUGUACCAUGAUGUCUUGAUUGGUGUCUUAAUUUUGUCUAUGACAUAUCUACUUGUUGUAACUGAUACUACAUAAUCUGUAUCUCCGCUGCAGUCAUAAUAUUAUAAUUUCAGAAACAUAUCAAUUAAUUACUUAUAAAUUAGUACGUACUUUCUUCCUUUCAAUUUAUGUGAAUCUAUUAUUCUAUUUGACGGGACACAAUAUAUUUAAAAAAUAAAUAAUAAAAAUUUUGAAACCUAAGAUCAUAAAUAGAUAAACAUGUCAUACACUUGUGAUUUAUGUGACAAUAACUGUUUAAUUCUCAUUAAGGAUAAAAAUGUAUUCUAAUCUAAUUAAAUUUUUUAUCAGCAUAAAUCAACUCACAUAUAUAUCCAAACUCUAAUUCCACUUUGCAUAAGCUCUUGAAAGAUUGGCAAAAUCGUGUCAGGUGAAUCUUGCCAAUUUACAUGUAUAGAUGCACUGAAUGGUAAAGUCGUAUUAACAAAAUUAUGAUUGAAAUCUAAAUUAAUUAUUCCUACUAAUUAAACUGCUCAAAGUGAAAAUAAUUACUUGCAAGAACCACAUUGCUAGGGUAUUCCUCUAACAUGGAGUGCUUAUUGCACUUCUGCAGUAUUCAAGUAUGAAUCAACAUAAUCUCUUGUGCACGAGUCGUACCACGCCAACUUGAGUGUCCUCACAAUUUGUAAUCUCAACACAAGUUAAGAAUUCUAAUAGAUGAAAACUUCGUUAUAAAUACUUCUUUUGAUGAGACAAACUACAAUUAUAAUAUGAAGAAAGAACUUGUUUUGAUCAUAAAUAAAGAAAUAAUACUGUGAAACAAUAAAUUAUUAUAUAUAUAAAUUACUAAUAUGUUUUUUACGAGAAGAACUACAGUUAUAAUAUGACGAAAGAACUUGUUUUGAUCAUAAACAAAGAAAAUAAUACUAUAAAAUAAUAAAUAUUUUUCAGAUUUCGAACAACUUUUGAGAUCUCUAAUGAAAUAAGAAUUAUAUAGAUAUAAGGGAAGAUGAAAAGUGUAGAGUUAACAUUAGUUAAUGAUAUUUCACAACUAAUAUGACCUAAUAAAAAGAAGAGUUACAAUCAUUCAUUAUUAUAUUAGUAAAUGCUAAUUAUCUUAAAAUUAAAUGAAAUAGGUAAUUAAUAGAUAAGUUUUAAAAGUAUUGUUUACGAGUCUCCUUUAUAUAUAUAUAUAUAUAUAUUGAUUGAUUGAUUAGUGAAAGUUAAUCAAUUGAAAUAAAUAUGAUUUAGAUUUAUGAGAAUUCAUUAAAUGUUUUUUGGGGGCUUUUUAUAUAACACAUAAAUACAAAAUAUAUGAGAUAAUUUUUCAAAAAAAGAAGAAAAAAGAAAAAUACAAAUAGAGGCCAUUGAGAGGUGCCACAUAAGUAUCCUCCAAUGUCUUCUUUAUAUACAGAGAGAGACUCUUACAUGUUACUUAUAUUUGAAUGGAAACUAAAAUUUAUGAUUGUUUACGUAGUACUUUUGUCUUGUUUAAACUUUCAUCAACUUGCACACUCCAUUGACUUGCUCCCUUUAAAUAGUACUCUUAGUAAUUCAGUAUUAAACAUAUUAUCACCUCCCUUAUAUUUACUCGAGAAAACAAUGUGUUUUCCUUCCUUUUCACAAUGAUCUCCUCCUCCACCACCACCAUUGCAUCUACCACUUUCAUUUCCUUAUUUCUUUCGUUUCCAUAAUUGACUCUUCAAAUGGAUCCAUCCGAACACUCCGCCACGAAGUCGCCGAAAAGAGAGCUCCAAGGUCCCCGGCCAACGCCACUCAAAGUAGGAAAAGAUUCACAUAAAAUUAAAAAACCACCGGUGGUGCCACAUCAGCACCAUCGGUUGCCACAUCAUCAUCAACCUCCACCACCACGACCACCAAUAAUAAUAUACACCGUGUCCCCUAAGGUAAUCCAUGCAAACCCUAGUGAAUUCAUGUCUUUAGUCCAACGACUAACUGGACCAAAUUCUUCAUCAUCAUCGUCAAGCUCCUCAUUUCCUUUUCAAGAAAAUACAAAUAUUAGCGCGAUUUCUCCGGCUGCUAGGUUCGCUUCAAUAGAGAAAACAAGAACACCAAAAGGGAAAAAAUCACAAAGUACUAAUUGUGACAUGGAAAUUGUUGAUGAAGGGAUAGAAAUAAAUAGAGAAAUUGAAAGAAGUACAAGUGGACUUUCUCCUCAAGGUAUUUUGUCACCAAAUCCAGAUUCACUUCAACCUAUAUCAUCAAAUUUCUUUUCACCUCCAUCAGCUGGAUUUUUCCAUGAUUUAAGUCCUGUAUUACAUAGUAACAGAAAUUAUUUUGAACAUAAUUUCUUGCCUAGCCCUUCAUCAAAUUUUAUUUCACCAAGAAUAAUACUAUCUCCUGGUACUCCAUCUUUAGAUCUUUUCAAUAACCUUUUCGACCACCAUAGAUAGAAAUAGGAUUUGUACGGGGUUCAUGUUCGGAAUUCUAUCACAAUACAUUUGAUUAGUUAGUGGGUUCAAAUUUAUUGUUAUUAUUAUUUAGCGAUUAUUUUUAUACAUAUAUAAAAUUUGAGUCAAAAUUACUGAUUUUAUAUUAACGCUAUGCUCUUUCUUUUCCCUCAUUUGAAUUGAAAUGGUGGGCCAUUUCGAUGAGCAGGUCAAACGUAGGAUUUCUAAUUUUUCAUUUGAGAUGCACAUAACUCAUUAGCAUAUUAUUUUAUAGUAACAUAUUUUUUAUGUACUUUUUGCGAUUAUGUAGGCUUGUAUUUUUAUGUACUAUUCAAAAUUAGAAUAAAGUAGAAAUGAAGAGAAAGUCUUCGACCUCUUGGAUUCAAUACAAGUCAUAUCAUAUGACAAAUUAAAUUUGAUUUCUUUUUGAGAUCUUGACUUGUAUAAUUACUAAGGUAUCGCUUUUGGAAAGAAAAAAUAGGAUAUGAAAAAAGAGGGAAAGUUUGUUGGGGAUAUAAAUGAUGUUAGAUAUUUGUGGGUUGGCAGAAGUUAUGAUUCAUCGACUUCACAGUCAUGCGGACCCUUCUAAUUAAAGUUAGUUUACUUUUGCACACCACCUCUACGCUCUAUAUAUCUAUUUUCAGAUAAUGACAUGGCAGAACUUUAUACCUGGUGAAUAUGUUCAUAAAAUGGAUGCUAACUUCUGAAGUUACGUGGUAAUGAUUUCUUAUGAUAACUUAUAAAUUGAAUAGAAAAAAUAAUCUUUCUAGAUUUGGUAUGUGUAAAAUUGAAAAUGUCUGAGGAAGAGAACAUAAAACUAAAAACAAAUAUAUAAAAAGAUAAAAAAUCAAAUUUCUCAUAAAUUACAGUAUUCUGAACGAACUCGAAAAAAAAAUAUUUAGUCCAUUUCCAAAAAAUAUGGUUACAACAUACGAGUAUGCAACAUAUUUAGACUUAACCCAACUCAAUCCAAGUAAUGGCGAUGUUCAUUCAUUAACUUAAUCUAUUUUGGUCCAUUCAAAUUUAGUCUAAUAUGCUCUCUUGAUAACUCUAAAUAUGUACUCUAAUGACCUUGUUAAGCAGUACGCACUGAAAUUUCAAUUUAUGAGCAAAUUUGUAAUAUCUUAGAAUUUGUUUCCAUUAUAUGUUAUUUUUUCUUUUGGUGAGCAUGCUUACUGAAAAUUAGUCAGCAACUUUUCCCAGUCAUUGGAGAAGGUUAGUUCAAUGUGAGUGGGCUACCUAGAUCUGGCCCACUUUUAAUCUUAAAUUUGUCGAAGUCUUUAGCCCAUGUACCAAUGUGAGGCCCAUAUGUUUUUAUCUUAAAAUUAUACAAAUCCACAAUUUAAAGUUUCACUUAUUAUAAAAAAUCUCAUCUCUCCAAAUAUAUUACAAAAAUCUCGUUUUUCUCUAAAAAUACAUAUACAUAGUUUUCUAUGUCAGCCCUGUUAUGUAUAUGAAUUGGCUUUGUUAUGUAUUUGUUGGUCUUGUUAUGUAUAUGUCAGUCUUGUCAUACUUGUUAUGUAUAUGAAUCGAUCUUGUUAUGUAUAUGUCGGCCUUGUCAUAUACAAAGGUUUCUAUAUAUAUGUCGGCCUUGUUAUGUAUAUAAAUCGGAAGCGAGAGUAAAGUAAUUAAAAAAGUGGGAGAGAGUGUAAAUAAUUCUAAUAAGGUUGGGAUUUAUGUUAUUUUUACCUUUUUUAUAAAUUUUGAAAAGAAAUAACAUAAACAUACAUCUUAACUUAUCAUAUUUAAAUAAAUUUCUACCCUUAUAAAAUAAUUACAAAAAUCUCAACUAAUUAUGUAUCUUUGUUGGAUGUAUCAAAAGUUAAUUAUAUAUCUCGAUAAACUCAAAAUAAGAAAAAUGUAUUGAGAGCUAAUUAUGUAUUGUUAUAAAGGAAAAAUUGUAUCUUCGUUGGAUGUAUUAUAUAUCUCGACCGAUUCAAAAUCAAAAAAAAUAUAUUGAGAGCUAAUUAUAUACUUUACAAAGGAAAAAAUGUAUCUUCAUUAGAUGUAUCGGGAGAUAAUUAUGUAUCUCGACAGACCCAAACUCAAAAUUUCAGUAAUUAUGCAAAAUGUCAAAAUUCUUUGUAAUUAAACUUCAAACUGUCGAGAUUUAUGUUGUUUUUCCUAAAUUUUAGAUAAUGGUGUCCGACAUGCAUAAGCUCCGUCAUUCUUACUUAUUUUGUUCAAUCAUUUUCCAAAGUCGAAUAAAUAUUGUUUAUCUUCUUUAUGUAUUUUACACCCCCACAAUGAAUUCAGAUUAGUAGAAUUAGAGUUGUUAAGUGGGUCGAGCCGGGUUAAUUCAGAAUCGGUCGGUCAAGUUUAAUCGGUUUGUGGGCCGGUCAGGAUUCUAGCCUAAUUAAAUGGGCCGAUUUGAUUUUGGGCCCAACAAUAAAUUUUUUAAAAAUACUUCAGGACCAGCCCACUUAACUUAAUUCAGUCCAACCCUUCUAAAUUCGGUCGAAAUCGAUCCAAAAUUCGGUCAAAACCGAUCAAAACCAAAAAAAAUUAAAAGUUUUUCCUCCAAUAUACACUAUAUAUACCCACAUAUAUACAUUUUAAAUAAGUUAAACAAUAUAUAUAUAUAGUAUAUACUACAUUAGAAUUUAAAAAAUAUAUACACAUAUACACAAUUACACAUAUAAUCGUGAAAUAUGACUAUACGUUAGUUAAAUAUAUAGACUAAUCUAAAUAAAACAUACGCUACAAAGAUAUAUACUACAAUAUAAUGAUAUAUAUACUAAUUUAUAAAACAUAUACACAUGUAUACGUUAAAUAUAUACUUUAGAAUCUAUAGAAGAUAUAUACACAUAUAUAUGUACCAUUCAAUAUGUAUGUACUACUUUAAAUAAAAUAUACUACAAUAUACACACACACUAUAUAUAUAGUUAUAUACUAAUUUAUAAAACAUAUACACAUGUAUACGUUAAAUAUAUACUUUAGAAUCUAUAGAAGAUAUAUACACAUAUAUACGUACCAUUCAAUAUAUAUGUAGCACUUUGAAUAAAAUAUACUACAACAUAUACACACACUAUAUAUAUAGUUAUAUACUAAUUUAUAAAACAUAUACACAUGCAUACGUUAAAUAUAUACUACUUUAGAGUCUAUAUGCUAUAUAUACACAUAUAUACGUACCAUUCUAUAUGUACUACUUUAAAAAAUAUGGUCCAAGAUAUAUACUAAAAUAUAAUGAUAUAUAUACUAAUUUAUAAAACAUAUACACAUGUAUACGUUAAAUAUAUACUACUUUAGAGUUUAUAUUCUAUAUAUACACAUAUAUACGUAUCAUUCAAUAGAUGUACUACUUUAAAAAAUAUGCUUCAAGAUAUAUACUACAAUAUAAUGAUAUAUUACUAAUUUAUAAAACAUAUACACAUGUAUACGUUAAAUAUACCCUACUUUAGAGUCUAUAGAAGAUAUAUACACAUAUAUACGGUACAUUCAAUAUAUAUGUACUACUUAAAAUAAAAUAUACUUCAAUAUAUAUACUACAAUAUAAUGAUAUAUAUACUAAUUUAUAAAACAUAUACACAUGUAUACGUUAAAUAUAUACUCUUUUAGAGUCUAUAUUCUAUAUAUACACAUAUAUACGUACCAUUCAAUAUAUAUGUACUACUUUAAAUAAAACAUAUACUACAACAUAUACACACACUAUAUAUAUAGUUAUAUACCAAUUUAUAAAAUAUAUACACACAUGUAUACGUUAAAUAUAUACUCUUUUAGAGUCUAUAUUCUAUAUAUACACAUAUAUACAUACCAUUCAAUAUAUGUACUACUUUUAAAAAUAUGCUACAACAUAUAUACUACAAUAUAAAUGACCCAAACGGUCAAAGAAAAUUUUUUUCUUGAAAAAUAAAUAAAUUAAACGGGUCGGUUCUGGGUCGAUUAACCAACGGAUCUGGAUCGGGUUUGGUUCGGACCAAAUUAACCGGGCCCAAAAAAAUAACCCAAUCGGGGACCCAAAACCCUACAUCCUGUGGGCUGAUCGAGCCGGGCUGCUAUGAUGGGUCGGGUCGGGCCGUGUCAAACCGGCCUGUUUGACAGGCUUGUAGAACUAUAUAUGAACCACUUGUGUUUUAGCGUGUCUUAUAGAAUGUUUCAUCAUACAAAUUAUUACAAACUACUUAAUUUGGAAUUUUAAUUGAAGAACUUCUAAUUAAUGAGAUGAUAAUAUACAUUUUUGAGGAGCCUAUGAGGAGUUUUUCAAUAACUAUCGACUUCGAGUAAAAGAUACAUAUUUAGGAUACGUGUUUUCUCAUUUUCCUUUUAGUUGAGUUCAAACCAAAGAAGCAUAUUUCUAAUUUUGACAAAAAAAAUUGUGUUUUUUUUCAAAUCAAUUACGUUAGCUAUAUUGAGGAGUGACAAUUGAGCACCAUGAAUGUACAUAAACACCAUUGCAACACUUUAAUAGUGAAAAUUUCUACUGAAGAAGAAGUAAAACAGUAGAAACAGAGAGAAACUUGGAGAACGUGUAAUCACAUAAUUACACAUUUUAUUAUGAGAAGAGAAACUGUAAAACUGAUUCAAUACAAAGACUUAAGCUGCCUUACAAAGCAAUAUAUCUAAUCUGGCAGCUAAGACAUAACUAAGACCCUAACUAAUUAACUAAUCGACUCUAACCAACAGCUCUGCAGCACUAACUGUUUUCUAUCAUAACUUAGCUAACAUAUUUCAAGACCCCCCUCAAGUUGGAGGGGAGAUAUACACAACCAACUUGCGCAAAAUGGAGAAAUAUUUCACACCAGUCAAGGCUUUUGCGAAGAUGUUUGCCAGUUGUGGAUUGGUGGAAAUGAGAUGAAUACUAAUUUGACCUUUUUAAAGUUUGUCUCUCACAAAAUGGUAAUUUACUUCUAUAUGUUUGGUUCUUUCAUAAAACAUGGGAUUCUUUACUACCAGCCUGACAGUACACUGAUAUAGUUUAUCAAAAUUAACCAAUACUUAACAAAAUAUUCAAUUAAAAUUCCUCACUCCCUACCAAACUCCCUAAUUCCACAUACCCUCCAAUCCCUCAAUUCACGUUUUUCCUCUCAAUUACACACACAGAGAGCUCUAUAUACACACACCCACAUCAGAAAACCAAUAAAGGGAAGGGUUAUCAAAAAAGGGAACAACCAUUAACACCACUAUCAAUAUUGUAAACACCUAAUUUUUAUCAAACCUAAUGUUUUUAUAUCAUUUUAGUAUUCAUUUUUUUUUUCUUUUAGGUCUAAAUUAGAUAUUUUAAGUUCAUCCUAUUUUACAAGGUUUGGUUUAAUAGUUUUGAAAACAAAAAAAAAUAUAGAAUCACAUUUUAAAUAAGCUUUUAUUUUUUAUUAUUUAUUUAAAAAAAAAUCUAAAUUAUAUUUGUCUUCUUCUUUUAAUUUUUAAUAAAGAAUCUAGUGAUAUUAAUAUUUUUUAAUUAUAUUUCUAAGACUAGUUAUUCAACUUAUUUUGUAUUUUGUUAGUUUUAAAUAGAUUUUAUUAUUUUUAUUUUAUUUAAAAUAUUAAUUAAAAAAAAAGGGAAAAAAACUUAUCCUAAUCUAGCCUAACCUCUUCCCACCUUCUCACUUCCAUUCAAUCUCUCCCCACUUCCUCCACACAAACACAUGACACACACCUACAUAACCCACAAUGUAACACACACAACACAGAAGAAAAAAAGGACGGGGGGAGAAAAACUUUGAAAACAAAAAGAAAGAGAGAAACCAGAAAGAGAGAGAAAGAAAAAACACAAAUUGGAAAACAAAGAAAAAGAAGAAAAGUUUGAGUUUGGAGUUCCUGUUGAGUUUACGACGACGUCUAUCGUGCUUCUCUUUUAAUCAGUUCAUCAUUCAGGAACUGCGUUGUACACUUUGGCUCUAAAUUGUUUGCUACUCAAAGUUAAAUGAAGGAGUUUUCGGCUUAUAAAGGUCCAUUUUUAAUAUGUAAUCGUUAUACAAUUAUGUCAUGACAUGCUUUAAUUACUCCGUUUUUCUUUAGUAUUCUCGUGUUCUUGAUUUGAUUAUUCGAUCCGGAAGUGGCCUAAUGUGCAUUGUCUCGUAUUUGUUUAUUAUUGUUUACCACUAAGUUGUUGGCAUCUUCACGUAAAUGGAGUAAAAUAUCAUAUUUUGGGCAAAAAGUGACCUUAAUAAUAUUUUGAUAGCAUCAUUACGUUAGUAAGCUAUGUCUCUUUGAUUAAUUUUGGUUUCUUUCUAGUCGUAUGUUUAGUGUAAGAUUUGUUUUUGUUCGGCUCCAGAAACUCCCUUUUUUUUAAGUUGGCUUUUGGGCUAGUUUGAUGUGCAGCGGUUUAGUAUACUUUUGUUGGUUUUGGUUUUGUCUUACUUGACAAAUGAUUCAAGAAUUUGUAUGCUCUUUAAUUAAUGUCCUAGUCACUUGUUUAAAUUUUUCAUUUGAUUAAUAUUGUAUCAACCUUCAAGUUGUCUUGCUCAUAAUUUUCUUUUAGUUUAGGUUGUCAAUCUUACUUCCUGGAAAGGUUUAUAAUAGAGAGUUCUUCAUGUUAAUCGUUAAAAUCAAACACUCCUCGGCAUAGAUCAAAAUAAAAGGCCCGAAAUAUUUUUUUAUUUAGUAUGAGGAUUAACAACACGGGUUGCGAAUUUAUUCAAGACCCAUUGCAAUUGGUAAAAUAAAAAUAUAAAAAAAACUGUAAGGGAGCGUUACAAGCGAAAAGAAAAUAUUUCCAUCGUUUUUGUCACAUUUCACGAUUCGUUAUAUAAAUGAUUCAUUUGAUAAAUAAAAAGAGGCGGUCAAUAUGAAGAGUCCUCUAUAUGACUUCACACUAUCUCUAGUGAAGUUACAUCAUAUAAUAGGGAAAAUAAAUCACGCUCCCCAUGCCUUUCACACGGAUUUGCACCUUUUUUUUAUUAUUUUAAUAUUCUUUUGACAAUACUAUGUUUAUGCCAUUAAUGGGAUGCGGAUUUAUUCUAAACCCCAUUAUCGAGAAAAGAAAGGAGAGGAAAAAACCAACUGUAAGAGUGAAUUUAUAAAAUAAUGAGUUAGGUUCUUAGCCUCUAAAUAAUUAAUAUUUAAUAUACCAGUGAAGAUUAACGAUGAAGUUGGAAAGCCCUGCUACCGACCAUUCGUUAUAAUAAAUUAACUUACCUUUUGAAGCCGUUUGAAUCGGGUUGGGUAGAUUCUAAACCUAUUAGGUGCUUAUUUAUACUAGAAAAAUGGGACGAUCCAUAAAGGCCUCAAAGGCACGAGAAAUGUAUCAAAACUUGUGGUAUGACCGAAAAGUACUGCUACUGGCAAGCCACGAAUUAAUAUAAUUAAAUAAUUUAAAAUAAAUUCAAAGUAGGAUGUAAGAAGCUUUUAGGCUAACAAAUAUUAUGUAUCCAAGAGAUUAAUUUAAGCCAGACAUAAGUCAUUAAAGCGACUGUGCUAGAACCACGAGACUCGAGGGGUGCCUAACACCUUCCCCUCGGUUAACAGAAUUCCUUAUCCAGAUUUCUAUACCGCAGACCAAAAUUUUGAGUCAUUUUCUUUUGAAUAGGGAUUCAAUAAGGUAACUUGAAACACCCAAACUCAAUUUCAAGUGGCGACUCUGUAAAAUUAAUAAUCCCUUUUCAAAACAUCACUUUAAUUGGAAAAACCUAUUUUCUCUAAAACCAACUCCCUAGCGGGGUCGGAUGCGGUAAAAAAUAGGGGUGUGACAAAUAUCAAGCAACAAUCGAUAACAAAACAAGCAACAUUAUAUAUUAAUAGAAAAAGGAGAAAAAUGUGCAAAACAUAUAGAGAUUAAGAGAGAAAUAGUGAAGGAAUUGAACAGAAACUGAGAGAGGGUAAACAAGAAAAGGAGAUUGGGAGAGGGGGAGUUGAGAGAUAGACGGAGGGGAGUAGGAGAAAACAGUGAAAAAAUAAACUGAGGGAAGGGGAGAGAAACAACGACCCAUGCGCUUGGAUUUUUCAGCAAAAUCUCGCCAGAAACGCCAUAUCCACUGGCAAACUAACUCCGUAAAGCCAUCAGCUCUUCCACCUCUCUAAGAAUCCGAUCAAAUUCAUACAAAUUGAUCAAAAGACCCACCCACAAACCAACCAAAAUUCUUUUCAGACAUGACUCAUCUCUACAUUUUGGUGAAUCGCUGACAAUUCUCGGUAAAACCCACUGGUGAACAGACCAACACUCAGUUUUGUUUCAAUUAUGAAAUUUUGGGUAAAAGUUAGAUCAUUUCUUGAGGUCUUUCGGCCGAUGGCGGUCUCCAAUAGUGGUGGUGGAAAAUAAAUUUCAUUCUCUUUUGGCUAAAAACAUUGAGGUCCAUCUCUUAUCCUAUUCUUGGCUAUUCUUUAUUUUUGCAUAUGAUUGAUUGUUGUCUUCUCAAUUUUUUUUCUAUCUUGUGCAUGAUGUGAAUGAUGAAUAUUGAAUUUACAAUGACUGUGGUUGAUAGAAAUGGUGAUGGGGAUUAUUAUUUUAGAAUCUUGGUAUACAAUGUAGUCUUUGGGAAAAGUGAAAAAUCGAUAAAGGUGAAUAUGAUCAGUUAGUUUUAAUUCAUUGAUUGUUGAUUAAUUCGGAUAAGUGUUAGUUUCGUUUUCACUUGAUAGUAGCAUGUUCAGGUCAAAUUUUAUAGGCAAAUGGUAGGUUGUGUUUGAAAAUCAUAAAAAUCGAUGAUUGUUGAAUGAUUGAAUUACUUUAUUUGGAAUUGUUUUAGUUUAUCACAUUCACUCAAAUGUAUUCAUUUUACCAAAGAAUGCCCCGAGAUAAAUUGUACUUAUUCACCGGGGAAUGCCCCGAAGUAUUAUGUAUGCGGAGGAUGUUCGUGAUCAAGGCUCGAGGCAUCAGGUAAAGCAUAGUUUAGGGUAGUUUAAGUUAGUUUAGGUUUCAUUUCAAUAUUUUUUUAUUUUGCGACUGUAUUAAUUGGAUUGGACAUUAUUUUUUAAAACUUUGUUUGUUUGUUUGUUUGCAUAUGUGUUCUUUUGUGAGUCUAUUAUUUCAUAGUGUCAUAUUAGCUGAUAUAACUCGGCGAAGAGAUCAUGGUCGAAUCAAGGGACCGAGGGGUUCCUAACUCCUUCUCCACGGUCAAAAAAAUUUCUUAACCGAAAUCUAUGCUCAUGGAUCAGUUUUAAGAGUCAAUUAUUUUUUAAAAAGAAAUUUAAAAAGGUGAUAUGGCACACCAAACAAUGUCAAGCGGCGACUCUGGAGUUUAAUUGCAAAAUUCUUUUUUGAAAUACAUUUUCUUUUGUCACUUUAGUAAUUAAAACUCUUUCGAACUUUAAAAUUAAUCUUUUUUUAUAAAAAUAGGGGUGUGACAGCUCUGGCGACCUUGCUAGAAAUUUUUAGAAUUCGAGUUUCUUUGUUGAAUUCUAUCGGUUUAGUUUGGCACUAUAUGUGUAUAGACGUUUGUUUGUGUUAUUGUUGUUAUCAUUGUUGGGUGCCCACAUGCUAUGUGUUUAUAGUUUUUCCUUAUGUUUUACCGCUUUAUAUCUGACACCAUAUUCAUUACCCCAAGUCACUUUUUUGAAACAAGUCUCAAAGCACACAUCAUGUACAUAAACCUUCAUCGAAUCACCUUUAUUUUAGGAAAGGGAGCUGCCGAACGUAUGGAGUGGGUGAAAAACAAUCACAGCCACCAUCGACUAUAUGCUCCCCCGAACAGUAUUGUUAGUUGAACCUCAGCCUAGGUCGGUGUUUAGAUUAUUCUUAAUUGCAUCUUGUUGAGACCUAGUGGGACCUGUUUGGUCCUUUGUGGGAGACUUAUCCCUAAGCAUCCCUAUGUGCUACUUAUUACCUAUUUGAAGGUAAAAAGGUGAUUUGAUGGACUAAUUUAGGGAGACAUGUGCUAAAGUUGUUGGAAAAUGUGUAUUUAGACAAGCGUGAUUAAGGAAAAAAAAGUACCAAAAAAUCAAAGUAAAAAAAGAAGAAGAGAAUUUCAUAGUUUGUAGAGUUUCUCUUUGACUUCUAUUUUGACAAUAAAAAAAUUCAAAAAAAAGAUUUUACCCUUUGCAUGUUUUUCCUUAAAAAAACAAAAAAAAAUUUCCUUUGUUUUUUUUAGCAUGCAUUUACAACUUGAAAAUUUCAAAAAAAAAAAAAUUGAUAGGAGUUAUAUAUAUUUUUUAUAGAAGAAAAUUCAAAAAGAUUUUAGAAGCUUUGUAUAUUUUAUAUAAUGAAAAUGCCAAAAAGAUUUUUCUUUUAGUGUUUUCAUGUUUUUCUAUAUCGAAAUUUCAAAAAAUAUUUUAUUUUUGUUGGUGCUUUAUUUUUGAAUAAUUUCAUAUGAAAAUACCAAAAGAUUUUUCGUUCGUAAUUUUUGAUUUAUUUUUAUAUGAAAUUUCAAAUAAAAAACGCAUAAAAAAAUUAUUGUGUGUUUCAUCAUUUAUUUUGGUCAUAUCUUAAAUCGGAAUUCAGUCUAUUAGUUAAUGUGUGAUUGUCCAAUCUAAGUGAACUAUGCACACCUAAUUCUCAUCUCUCGAGGAUGAGAUACAUAGGCAGCCCUUCUAGUGUUCAACGAUCUUAUUUUAAAAAAUUCCCCAAAAAAAAUAAUUUCUCGCUUUAUUUAGAGUUGGUGUCACAUAUACAUAUUUAAAAAGAAAAAUAGAAAAGAAAUUUUUUUAGUAGUUUUAGGUUUCAUUUAAGUAUGAAAUUCAAAAUCGAAAAUCCAAAAAGAUUUUUCAUCAAUAUCUUUUGAAAAAUAACAAUAAAAGAAAAAAAUAUCUUACUCUCCAUUAGUUGUUUCACGUGGUGUUUCAAAUAAAAAAUACAAAAAAAUAAAAGAUCUUUUCUUUGAUAAUUUUAGGUUUUACUUUUGACUAAAAUUCAAAAUCGAAAAUUCAAAAAGAUUCUUGUCAAUAUCUUUUGAAAAAAAAAAAGAAAAAAAAAUCCUUUUCCUCUUCAGUUUAGAUUAGUUAAGCCAUGCAUUUCUUCAUAUGAAAAUACAAAAAAAAAUUUCUUUGAUAAUCAUAGGUUUCAUUUUGCAUAGGGAAUUUAAAGUUGGAAAAUUCAAAAAUCUUUUCAUCUACUUUUGAAAUUUUGUUAUUUUCUUUUUCUCUAAAACUUUAUCAAAAAAGGGGGGGAAAGAAAUGGAGUUUGAUUGGCCAUUUUGUGCAAAAAUUCACGAACUACGCACACAUGAUUCUCCCCUCUGGAGUGAGAUACGUAGGCGUCUUUCUAGGAUUCGGUGAUCUUGUCUAAAAAGAAAAUAAGAGGAAAAAGAUUUUGAAAAAGUGUUGAACUCUAACACAUUUUUUAUAUCUAUUGUUUGGUUAGUUUAAGGUGGUUGGUUUGUGGCAUUCUGGUUGGUCCUCCAUACUACACCAAAUCCAAGGAAGAGCUAGUUAUGUCUAAUAAGGAUAUUAAUAAUGACAUCAUGGAUCAGACAGAGUCAGGAAAAUGAGAGUUUAAAGUAAGAGAUUUUGAGAUUAAGGCAACAAAUGACGGAAAUGCACCGAGUUUGGGCUAGUGGAUUGCCUCCUUCCCCAUUUCCCUCUAUUGAUCUAACAAAUAUCUUUAGUUUUUCAUCAAAGUUGCAAACUCAGUUUUCUACUGUUGUUGAUGCACCACAACAUGUACCAGAAUUUAUGAAAACAUUCGAAUGCGUCCAGCAUUCAUUACCUAUCUCCUUAGUAUAAACCUACCAUAUCUACAACACCACUUACUAUUCAUGCUUGUGUUGGUCAACCCUCUAUUGAGACUCCUAUCUUGGUUGUCCGCCCAGGAAUUGUGUUUUCCCAAUCUACUAGUGAGUAUAUGUUCAGUAAUCUUGAUAAUCACUGUUAUACUCAUGAGCCUAAAUCUAAGUUAAUUGGACCACCGAAAUUUCUUACCAAGAAGCUUGGAAUGAUAGAAGAGCGAGAAAAAAUGGCUAGAAAAAUGAAGAAUGUAGAAAAGGUUAUGAAAAAUUCUCUGGGACUUAUGGGUUAUGAUGAUGCUUCAUAUAAGGAGUGAGGCAUGAUUUCAAGUAUUAAUCUUCCUCCUAGCUUUAAGAUGGAAUUUGAGGAGCAUGAGGGACACGAGGAUUAUGUGAGACACUUGGAAUAAUAUUACAAUCAAUUUAGGAGAACUGAAGAAAAAAAUAGAGCUAUUGAGAGGUCCAACUCACCAAUACUUUCAUCCUCAACCCCGAGUUUAUACACCAGAUCCACGAACUCAUCUACAACAAAGUUUAUCUCUUCAAAAUUCAAAAUAUUCUAUUCAUCUUCCUUAGUAUCCUUUGAACAAUGCACCACUCUUACUCAUCCAUCUUCUUAUCCACAAUGGCAUGCACUGAUCCCUCAAAAUCGUCCUCGGACCCCACAUAUUUAUCAAGAUACCUCUAAAUCUAAGUUUCAGUACAGGCCAGAGUUUGUAAAGAGGAAGAAUCCAAAGGAUAAUGUCACACUAAUUAUGGAAUCUUAUACCAAUUUGUUCCAAAAAUUAAGACAGUGGGGCAUGAUUACUCUUCUCAUCGGGUAUACUCUUGACCCUUAUUCAAGAUAUUUUGAUCCUAAUGUAUGAUGUGCAUAUCAUUCUAAUAUUUAGGAUCACAAUACUAAAGAUUGUCAUACUUUGAAAAGAGAAAUAUAAAGAACGGUUCAAUAAAAAAUUAUUGUACUGCAAUACAUUGACACUAAGAGCGUCAUACAAAAUUCUUCACCAACACACAAUAAUGCACAAUACGUGGAAAGCAAUAAGUUAGGCAUGAGGAUCCAGAACUUAUUUGUUGAGGGAAACGUACUUAACGGUGAUGAAAGCUCUAGUCAUGAUGAUGUGCAAAUCAGUGGCUAAGAUGUCAAGCUCAGCCAUUGGGAAGACACUCCUUUCCUUACUAGGAAGAAUUUUUGGUAGUUUGUUUUGUUAUCUUUUCUGUUAUUCGAAUUAUUUCAGGGUUGUAGUUCAGAAUCUAUCUUGCUUUUAUUUAUUUAUCGUUUAUGUUUAAACCUUUAUAUUUUUCCUUUCAACUAAAUGGAGUGUCCCUUUUUCUUUUGCUUUUUAAUAUGUGUUGUUUGUUUGUUUUCUUUAUACAGAAUAUUUUAUGUUGGUUUUAGUGAUAUGGCAUACUUGCAGAAUUUUAGUCAGAUCUUAAAAUCCAGUUUAAUCAUGAAGCAUUGAAUCAGAAUGUUACAGUUAGAAAAAGAGCAUUUGAGAAAAUGAGUAGAUUUUUGAGACAUUUGGUGAUCGAGUUGAAGUAUUACUUGAAUAAAUUAAGACAAUUAUUUUGAGAAUCACAAGAAUAACUUGGUCAUUAAUUGAAAGUCACAUCUCAAUCAUUUUGAAUUGGAUCAAACAGUGGAUGGAUGAUCUCCCAUGUCAAGAGAAACAAAAGAAAAUUUGUUUCGCUAAAGUAUGAGUCACCCGAUAUGAGGUGUGUACAACAAAGGUGGAUUUGUAUGUUUGACAAGUGCAAAAGAAUAAGUAACACACAUUCUGAGUUCAAAAAAAGGAGAAAAGUGUCGAGCAAAAGAAUUGAGUCAGAAAAGUUCAAUAAAAAAAAGUGAGUCAAAAAAUAAAGAGAUAAGAGUGUUAAGAAAAAUAAAGUCAAAAGAAGUCUCAAAGGGGAGAAAGAAGAAAAGAAACCAAAUCCAAGUAAAAGAACAAGUUGUCUAAACUAUGUUUGACCUAGUUCUUACAAAGACAAAAUACACAGGCAGCCCUACUCUGGAGUUCGGUCAGCCCAAGUAAGAGCUAAAGAAUGUCUCAUCUAAAAUAAACUGGGGCAAGAGUUUAUUUUUGUUGCUUGAGUCGAUUCUAAAAGUUGUGAGUCUCACCCCCACUUCAAGUGUCGUUUGAGAUUUAUGUCAUUCUUUCUUUUCAACCCUAUCCAAAAGCUACGUUAUAACUAAAGAAAGACCUUCAGAUCAAUUUUUGACAAUAUUAAGGCUAAGCAUGCGAUGGACAUAUGAUGUUGUAAUUUAAAUACGACUUAUCUUUAUCAGCAUAAGAAAUCAAGGGAGAAAUAAAAUGUGAGAGUCUCAUUGGUAUAAACCCUCACAAACAUCCCAAGGCGAUAAUGAGCUAAGAAAAAUAAAAAUGAAAGUCUUAUUGGUGAAAGCCCUCAUGGGCACCAUAAGGCGUUGGAAAGUUAAGAGAAAUGAAAAUAAAUUAGUCUCAUUGGUGAAAAUUCUCACAGGCACCGUACGACAAUGGUGAAUUGAGAGAAAUAAAAAUGAGAGAGUAUUACUCGUGAAAACCCUCACAAACAUUGCAAAGUGAUAGUGAGCUGAGGAAAAUAAAAUGAGAGAUUCUUAUUGAUAAAAACCUUUAUGGGCACCGUAAGACGAUAGUGAGUUGAGAAAAAUGAAAGUGGGAGAGUCUCAUUGGUGAAAAUCCUCACAAACAUCGUAAGGUGAUGGUGAGCUUACCUCACAAACAUCGUAAGGUGAUGGUGAGCUUAGGAAAAUAAAAAUGAAAGAGUCUUAUUGGUUAAAACCCUCAUGGGCACCGUAAGGUAAUAGUGACCCGAGAAAAAUAAAAAUGAGAGAGGUUGUUGGCGAAAACCUUUCAGGCGUCACUAGUCGAAUGAGGUCUAUGAAUGCAAUGGACUUAAAGAAGCAACUCCGGUUCAGGUUCAUUAACUCAAAACAAUUGUUGUAAAGUUCAGGAAGUUUAAUCCAAAAUGCAUGUUAUAAUCAUUAGAGUUGACUGUCGUAUUCAGAUAAGUUUUUCUUUUCUAUGUUUUUGAAAAAGAGACAUUCAUUAUCUUCUCUUUCUUCUCUAUAUUUUUAUUUUUGUUCUCUUGAGUCUGUCAUCCGAAUAGAAAACAUUAUCAUUUCUUUAUUUCUGUGAGUCAAGUCCAUGUCAAAACAAGUGAGAAAAAAAUUUCUAAACUUGUUACCAACUUUUUCAAUUGCACAAAGCAAUACAAAAUACCAGUGCAUGAAGAAACAUGAUUGUAAGCCAAAACAAGGCAUGUAGAAAGUUUCUGUCAACAGACAAGUUUGAAAAUUCGUGAAAAUACCAAGGUUCAAAGGGUUUAUCUAAGAGACAUAGCAAAAUAGAGAUAUUGUAUUUAUUUCAGAGUCACUCUUAAUAAUCUAAGUUUGGAUCAAUGGUGCAGCAAGGCAUUGACACAUGUCAACAGUGUGAAGCAAGUUAAAUAAGAUAAGUGCAAAAACUAUUACCUCGAAAUCUGAAGCCACAAAUCAGCCACCAUGUUCUAUAUCAUAAGUUUUAUUUAUAUGAAAUAGGAACAUAGGUUACCUUCAAAUCAAGGGCUUCAAAGCCUAACUAUCAGAAGGUAAAAUUCCUCUCUUCUACAAAUGCAAGAGACAAUUUUGCUGCACAGGUUUGGUAAUCUUGUACCCCUAAGAGACACUUUCUAAUUUGGGCCUUUCAUCUUUUCUGACUAGGAGAUGCACUUCCUAAUUUGAGUUGUUAAUCUUAAAAGAUGAACUAUUUAAUUAAAGUCUCUCACUUUUACUCUUAAGAUACACACUUUUUAGUCUUGAUUAUUCAAUUUUACUCUUAAGAGAUGCAUUUAUUAAUCAGAGUAUUGAUUCAUCAUUGCAUUAUGCAUUUUUGCAGGUAGUUAUGAUUUGGUUUGACACUCACAAAGUUUUUUUGAUGAUAAACUGUGGCAAAAAUUUUAUUCGUGUUUCUUGAAACUUUACUUUAAGUUUCGGAUUCUCCUAGAAAAUAAGGCUUUAUUUUUAAAAAAAAUGAGAUCUUUUUUUAUCAUAAUAUAUGUUUGAGAUCACGUUUGUUCUAAUUUUAACUUUGAGUUCAAGAGCCCGCCUGAAAAAUAGGACAAAGUUUAGAAAUUGCAAGUCACCAGCCCACCUGAAUAAUAGGACAAAAAUAUAGCAAGUCUGGAAUCCGCCUAGAGAAUAGGUUGAAGAAAUUGCAAGUCAGGAGCCCGCCUAGAGAAUAGGGUGAAAAAAUAGCAAGUCAAGAGCCAUCUUGGAGAAUAGGAUGAAGAAAUUAUAAGUCAGUAGACCGCUCAGAAAAUAAGUUGACGAAAUAACAAGUCAGGACCCCUCCUGGAGAAUAGGGUGAAGAAAUUAUAAGUUAGGAGCCCGCCUGAAAAAUAGCGAGAAGAAAUUACAAGUUAGGAGCCCAUCUGGAGAAUACGCUGAAGAAAUAGCAAGUCGGGAGCCCGCUUGAAGAAUAAGUUAAAAGUUGAAGAAAUCACAAAUUAGGAGCCUGCCUAGAAAAUAAGGUGAAGAAUUAAAAAUUGCAAAUCUGGAGUCUGCCUGAAGAAUAGGUUGAAGAUUUUAAAUUGCACGUCAGGAGCCUGUAUGAAGAUUUUAAAGUUCAAGGUCAAGUUCAUAAGUCCCACCAGAAGAACAUGACCAAUUUUCAAGUUCAUAUCUGAUAUCAAAUAGUGUAGGGAGAAAGCAUUUUUUAAAAAUGCAACCCAAACAAAAGUAAAUAUAUUAUCAUUUUUUGAAAACAUUGAAGACUCAAGUCAAGAAUCAGGAGAAGCUGCAUAAAUAGAAUUUUUGUAAUUUCAUUUAUCUUGUUAACUUGUAAUUUUUAUUUUUGAUGUAAUGAUAGAGUCGCAGACCGAAAUCUCGACGGGACCUCACUCAACUCUCCAACUCGGUAUAGUCUCUCUCCUUUUAAACUACAUAUGACCUAAUUUCCAUAUAAUCUGGGAUAGCUAGGUUAUCCAAAAACAAGACUCGAUCGCAUUCUAUCAUUCUAUUCCCUCUUUUAAAUAAUGAUCGGGUUAAAUUCUAUCUCGUUAUCUACUUCUUUAUCUAAAAAACUUUGUGUUUACGAAUAAAGAGGGACAUGAUGUAGACACAUAAAUUUGACCCUCCCAUUUUGUAAAUUUACCUAUUUACCUCACUUUACCAUGCACCCCGCUUUUUUUGAUAUCUUUUUCAUAAAAGGACAAAAAUAACCCCAAUUAAAAUUCCUCACCCCCUAUACCACGUACCCUCCCUCUCUCCCAAUCCCUCAAUUCACAUUUUUCUCUCAAUUACACACACACACACAAUAACUCUAUAUACACACACCCUAUCAAAAAAACAGUAGAGGGGAGGGCACUUAAAAGGAAACAACCAUUAACACCAUUAUCAAUAUCAAGCAAAAACCCAUAACAGAACAAACAACAUUAUAGAUUAACAGAAAAUGAAGGAAAAAUAUACAGAACGGAAAGAGACUGAGAGAAACAAUGAAGGAAUUGAGCAGAAAAUGAGAGAAAAAGAUAGAGAAAAGAGAUAUCGAGAGAGGGGGAUUUGAUAGAUAGAGAGAUGGGGUAGGAGAAAAUAGUGAAAAUGGACUAAGGAAAGAGGAGAGAAACAACAUCCCACGUGCUCGAAUUUUCCGACAACAUCUCGCCGGAAAUGCCAUCUCCAUCGGCAAAAUAACUUCAUAAAGCCACCAGCUCUUCCACCUCUCCAAAAACCUAAUCAAAUCCAGAAAAAUCAACCAAAAGACCCACCCACAAACCGACCAAAAUUCGGUUCGGACGCGACUCAUCUCUGCAUUUCGGUGAAUCGCUAGCAAUUCUCGCCGGAAUCCACCGGUGAACAGACAAACACCCAAUUUUGGUUUCAGUUAUGGAAUUUUGGGUAAAAAUUAGAUCGUUGUUUGAGGUCCUUCAGCCGUUCACGGGCUCCGAUGGUGGUGUUGGAAAAUAAAUCCGAUUCUCUUUUGGUUAAAAACAAUGAGGUUCAUCUCUUAUCCUAUUCUUAGUUAAUUAUUUAUUUUUGUACAUGAUUGAUCGUUCUCUUCUCAAUUUUUUUUUCUCAUGAUGCGAAUAAUAAUAUUGAAUUUACAAUGGUUGUGGUUGCUAGAAAUGGUGAUGGGAUUACUCCCUCCGUUUCGAAUUAAAUGACAUUUUCAACCUUGGCACACUCAUUAACAAACUUAAUAAUUAAGGGUAUAUUUUACCGUUUUACCUUUCUUGAUAUUGUAAGAUUAAUAAAGUAAGUAUGGAAAAUUGGUGCAAUUAUUCCAACCAUGCAUGCAUAUGUCUAGAAUUUAUAAAUCAUUAAUUUUUUUUUUGAGAAGUGAAAACAUGAAUACUCCAUUCCAUAUUACUCUAUCUAAAAAAAAAAUGUAUCAUUGAGUAUAGGAUUGUAAAACGUGUAUGUUCGUUCAGUUAUAGACUUUACAAAUGUUGAGUAUAGGAUUACAAAUAUUUAGCAAAUUUGAAAUUUAUAGUUCAACAAAUAGGGUCAACAAAUGUUGCUUAUUUCUUCAUUAAAACGUGUAUUGAUGUACAUGAAAUUUUUAUGUUAAGCAUUUUUUGGCAAAUGUAUUUUAUUGAAAGUUUUAAAUUUUAUUUCAAAUUCUAAAAAGAAGAAAAAAGUAAAGUCUUGAAAAGAAGAAAAAAGAGAUAAUACCCAAUUACCCCUGAACUAUACCCAAAAGUCUAUGACACACCUCAACUUAAAGGGGGUCCUAUUACCCCUGAACUGAUAAAAAGUAUAAUUUUGACACCUUUAGUGUCUACGUGGCACAACACACUGAAGUGUCCACGUGCCACGUAGGCACACGUAUGUGCCACGUAGGCACUAAGGGUGUCAAAAUUACACUUUUAGUUAGUUCAGGGGUAAUAGGACCCCCUUUAAAUUGAGGUGUGUUAUAAUCUUUUUGGAUAUAGUUCAGGAAGGUAAUUGGGUAUUUUCUCAAGAAAAAAAGUAAAGUCUCAUAAAGAUAGUAUUGAAAAUACGAAAAAGGGUCUAAUAUACCCUUCAACUAUUGAAAAUGGUACACAAAUACCCUCCUUCCAUCUUUAGGCUCAAAAAUACCCCUUCAUCCAUCUAUUUGGCUCAAAAAUACCCUUAAUGUAUUAGAAAUAACUCAAAAAUGCCUUUCUUCCUCUAUUGGUUCAAAAAUGUCCCUCCAUCCACCUAUUUGGAUAAAAAAUGCCCUUAACAUUAAAUUUAAGUCAAAAAAUGUCUCUUUCUUUAUAUUAUAUUAUUUUUUUAGUUUCACGUAGUGGUGGGCUUUUUUUAGUUACAAUUUAUUUUAUUAUUAUAUUAUUUUGGGAUUUUUUAAUUACAAAUUUUUAUUAUUAUAUUAUUUUUGAUUUUUUUUAAUUAUAAUUUUUUAUUAUUAUAUAGUUUUUGUGGGUUUUACGUCAGGGGUGGUUUUUUUUUUAAUUAUUAUUUUUUUAGUUUUAGGUUGGUACCAAGUUAUCAAGUAAUUUAUGGUACAUCAUAAUAGUUAUAUUUAUGGUAAUUUUUUUUUUCAAGAAAUAUAUUUUUUCUAUUUUAGGACUCUUAAUUUCCUUCCAUAUAUUUUAGGACUCUUAAUUUUCCUAUAUGUUUCGGGUUUCAUAUUUAUAUAUUUUAGGACUCUUAAUUUUAAAUGAUUUUAUCUAUUGUAAAGUCUUCUAAGGAAGAAUGUUUUUUUAAAAAAAAGUUAUUACUUUUUUUUUGUGGUUUCACGUAGGGGUGUUUUUUUUUAAUUACAUUUUAAUAUAUAUAUCAUUACUAUUUUUCUUUGUAUUAUUACUAUUUUUAUGAUUUCAUGAUGGAGAAGGAUAGAAGUGUAAAAUAUUAUGCUUUCUUACCUAAAUUAAAUAAAGACUUAAAUUACUUUCAUGUUUUUUUUUAUAUAAAAAAUUCAAAACCUAAAAAGAACUAAGAGUCUUCAAAAUUUUGCCUAAAAUAUGUUUUCUAAUAUUUGAGCACACAUAGAUAAUCAUUAACUAUGAGAGUAUUUGCCCUUUACUAAUUAUCCUAUUUAAGGAAUUCUUUUCUAAUCUUGCACUCAAACAUUAGUUAAUUCUUUUUAAAUUUUUAUAUACAACUAAAAAAAUUAGUGAAAAGAGGACCAUUAAAUUUUGAAUGAAUUUGAGUCUAAUUACAUGUGGACCAAUAAAAAUAAUGUCAUGUAUUUAAUUUAAAUAAAAUUAUAUUUCACAUCAGAAUUUGUUAAAAAAGGGAGACAUUUUUGGACUUAAAUUUAAUGUUAAGGGCAUUUUUGGUCCAAAUAGGUGCAUGGAGGGGUAUUUUUGAACCAAUAGUGGAAGAAGGGCAUUUUUGGGUCAUUUCUAAUACAUUAAGGGGCAUUUUUGGGUCAUUUCUAAUACAUUAAGGGUAUUUUUGAGCCAAAUAGACGGAUGGAAGGGUAUUUUUGAGCCUAAAGGUGGAAGAAGGGUAUUUGUGUACUAGUUUUAAUAGUUGAAGGGUAUAUUAGACCCUUUUCCGUUGAAAAUAUAAAAGUGUUAUUUUCAAAAAAUUUGAAAAGUGUAGUUAUAUUUAAUACUGUCAAUGGUAGAAUGGGAAGAAUAUGUGUAAAAUAGUCUUGAUUUUAUAACUUGGACAAGUAAAUUGAAGCAAUUUUUUUCAAAAAUAGGGUCAACUAAAAAAAAAUGGAGAGUAUUAUUUUAGAAUCUGGGUGUACAGUUUAGUCUUUGGGAAAAGUGAAAAAUUGAUAAAGGUAAAUAUGAUUCAUUUGCUUUAAUUCAUUGAUUAUUGAUUAAUAUGGAUAAGUGUUAAUUUUGUUUUCACUUGAUAGUAGCAUGUUUAGGUCGAAUUUAAUAGGCAAAUGGUAGGUUGGGUAGGCAAAUCAUAGAAUUCGAUGAUUGUUGAAUGAUUGAAUUGCUUUAUUUGAGAUUGUUUUAGUUUAGCGCAUUCACUCAAAUGUAUUCAUUUUAUUGGGGAAUGCCCUAAGAUAAAUUAUACUUAUUCACCGGAGAAUGUCCCGAAGUAUUAUGUAUGCGGAUGAUGUUCAUGAUCAAGGUUCGAGGCAUUGAGUAGAGCAUAGUUUAAGUUAGUUUAGGUUUUCAUUUUAGUAUUUAUUUAUUUUGGGACUGUGUUAAUUGGACUGGAUAUUAUUGUUUUUGUUUGUUUGUUUGAGUAUGUUUUCUUUUGUGAGUCUAUCAUUUCAUAGUGUCAUAUUAGUCGAUAUAACUCGAUAAAGUGAAUGUGGUCAUACCACGGGACCGAGGGGUGCCUAACACCUUUUACUCAGUUAACAGAAUUCCUUAACUGAAAUCUCUAUUCGUGGAUCAGUUUUAAAAGUCAACUGUUUCUAAAAAAGAAUUUAAAAAGGUGACUUGGCACACCAAAUAAUGCCAAGUGGCGACUCUGGAGUUUAAUUGCAAAAUCCUUUUUCGAAAUACAUUUUUUUUGUCAUUUUAUAAUUAAAACCUUUUUGAACUUUAAAAUCAAUCUUUUUCGGUAAAAAAAAGGAUGUGACAGCAGUUCCCUUGACUCUUGUAUAUAUUGGCUUAGAUGUUGUACACUAAAAGUAAUAUCCAUUCUGGUAUUUUACAAAAAGUUGAGCUUGCCUACUAACUUCUUGUAGUAAGUUGGAUCUUAAAGAAGAACGCCUUUGUUGUCGCUUAGCUUUAUUAUAGGAUCUAGAGGUGAUGAGGUUUUAUUAUGACAGAUGCAAUCAAAUUCUGAAAAUAGAUCAUUUGUAAAUUUCCUUUAUAAGAUCAAAACGCCAUUUGCUCUAUAUAGAAUCUCCAGCCCGAGAAAAUAGCAAAGUUAUCCAAGAUCUUUGAGCUUGAACUGAUCAUGUAGAAAUGAUUUGAGUCACUUGAUUUCUUCUAAAUCAGUCCCUAUCAAUUUGACAUCAUCAACAUAGAAAGACCAUGGAUUGGUUUUGCCUUUCGGAAAAGAGGGAGUAAUCACUUAGUGUGAUUAUCCUUUGGAAUAUUAUGAACUAAUUCUUUUGAAUAUUAUGAACUUAUCAACUUACCAUACCAUUAUCUACUGGCCUGUUUCAGGUCAUAUACUCGCUUCUUUAGCUUACAAAAAGCCCCCUAUCCGGGACAAAGCCCUUAUGGAGUGCCCAUGCAUAUUUUUUCAUGAAGAUCACCAUGAGAAAUGUAUUAUUGAUAUCUAGUUGGUAACGAUCUCAACCUUUUUUGACAGCCAAGCUAAGAAGUAUCCUAAUUGUUGCUAGCUUCACAAUAGGUGAAAAUAUUUAUGUAAUCUACCCCAGCCUCCUGAAUAUACCCCUUGACCACCAGCAAUGUUUUGAACCUCUCUAUAUUUUCAUCAGCCUUGUGCCAGAUCUUGUUCACCUACUUGUAGCCCAUAACUUUCUUUCAUGUAGGUAAAUGAACUAAUUUCCAAGUGUGGUUAGAAUAUAAUACAUCAAACUCUUAUGUCAUAGUUAUUUGCCAGGCAAGGUUCAAGACAACCUCUUCAUAUGAGCUUGGUUCAUUCUCAUGAGAUAUUUUUAACCAGUUGUUGACUAUUUGGACAUAGACUAGUGAGACAAACAUGAGAAGGUUUAUUGAGGAGAACAGUAGAGAAGGUUUAAGUAAGCAGGGGUGGUAUGGAUCCUACAUGAUCUUCUAGGUUCUACAGGAGUGACUUGAGACAUGUCCUCGGGAGCUGAGUUGUGUUUUGAACUUAGUGUAGGUGAUCCAUUGUUUUCUAGUGUUGGAGAGAAGGAUAGGUUGGUUGAAGGUAAUAAAUUAGUGGAAUGAUUAGGCAUAGGCUGACUUGGAACUGAACUUGAAGUAUCCUUAUCCAAUAAAUUAACAUCAUCAAAGUAUUUAAACUACUCAAAACAGACGAACCAGUAAUAAGUUGCAAAAUAAAGGGUAAACUUGAUCUAGAAGGAGCAAUAGAAUAUAUAUAUAUAUAUAUAUAUAUAUAUAUAUAUAUAUAUAUAUAUACAUGAAACAAAACAUCCCUAGAAACAUGAAUCCUCUUGUUGUACAAGUCAAGUACCUUAUAUCCUUUUGUGUUGAAAGGAUAGCAAACAAAAAUGUGAGGUGUGGUUCUUGGUUCAAAUAUAUCCUUAUGGGAUUUCAAAGUGGUUGGAAAGCAAAGACAUUCAAAAACUCUAAGGUGAGAAUAGGUAGGUUUGGUGUUGUAUAGCAUUUCAAAAGGGGAUUUAUUAUGUAACAACCUUGAAGGUAAUCUAUUUAUGAGAUAGAUAACAGUCAUAAUGCACUCACCUCUAUGUCUCAUUGGCAAUGUUGAUUGAUAAAAGUAUUCUGGUUGCUUCUAACAAAUACUUAUGUUUCCUCUCUACUACACUCCUUCUUGAUGAAUGAUGCCUUUUUCUUUGAAAAAUCUUGUAGCUUCAUAACUUGUAAAUUUCAGACGAUUAUCGGAUCAUAAUAUUUUACGUGUGGAACUGAUUUUCUAUGAGUGAUACAAAAGAUUUUACUGUCUGUAAUACAUUACUUUUGCACCUCAACAGUUUAGUCCAUGUUGAUAUACUAUAAUUAUCAACCAUGGUAAUGAAGAAAUAUUGUUAUUAUGAGUAGGUGUAUAGUAAGGGCCCCCUAAAUCCAUAUGUAGUAUCUCAAAGAUGCUUUUUUGAAAUGUUGGUUCUUUGGGGGCAAAGAGUUCUGAUCUGUUUAGCUAUGGGGCAAACACUACAUGUGAAAGGUUAUUUAGGAGUGAAUUAAAGGGGAAUAGAUGAGAUAUCUUUCAUUUUCACAAAAGGUACAUGGCCUAAUGUAUUGUUCCAUAAGUGUUCAAUGGUGUUACUAUGAAAAGCUGAAGAUAAAAAAGAAAUUGAAGAAGAACCAACUGUUAUUAUAUGCAUAAGGAAAGUUUACUAACGAAGGAGAGUGAAAAUUAGGAGUCUCAUCAGUACAAGUAGGAGAAAAAUAACCCAAAAAUAUAAACCGUGUAGACGCACCAUGAUCGGUAAUACUAGGGCAGUAAUUGUGACACUUAACAUGAAAAAAUGCCCUGCAGUAAGCAAGAAACACUGUUGAAACCAAUAAUGCCUUUGAGAUGCAAUACCAGGCAAUGAACAAAAAUCAAUUGAAUUAAAACUAGGCACAAACAAAACUCUAUGCAAUGUUAAAGUUGGUGACAAAGAUACAUCAACAACUUCAGUAACUUUACCUUUGUAUCCAUUUGGUGGACUAACCCGGAAGGGACAAGGUAAAGUGUUAACAUUUUUUAGUAAGUCUUUAUUGUAGGUCAUGUGGUGUAAGGCUCCUGAGUCUAUUAUUCAUGAGUCAACACUAAGUUUGUAACGACCUAAAAAUUUGAUGAAAUAUGUGAAAUUUGUGAUUUCACUGUUUUAUCCCUCCCGGUAGUUGCAUUCUGAUAUUUCUGGGAUGUGGGAGUGAUUGGCAUGAUUUUCGAUGCAUUUUGGUAUCAUUUAUGCAAUAUUGUGAUUUUUUAUUGCUUCGAAAGCCUUAUUUUGAACUUAUGUGGAUAUCUUUUGAUCCAUACGACGGAUGGCUGAACGGAUUGCGCCAGCAGCUCCGGAAUAUUGAUUUUAGGCUAGAUAGACCUUUGGUUCGGUUCCCGAUGCACCCGAGCUCAUUUCGACCUAUUGGUCGAAAAGUUGAAAAAUUGAAAACAUGGGUGUGGGACCCAUCCGACUUCGCCAGCAGAUCCGGAAUGUCGAUUUUAGUGUGUUAGCAUGUUUGGUAUGAUUUUACGGCUUUUAAAUCUCAUUUCGACCCUCGGUUGGGAAAAUUGUGAUUUCAGGUUUCGGGGGUCAAUUUUGUGAAAACGAUAUUUUCUGAAAAAUAUGGUAUCUUCAUCGCGUCCGGAACGUCGAAUUUAGUAUGGUUGCAUAGUUCGUUCGUGUAUAUCGGACUCCAAACGAAUCUCGGGCACCCCGUCGAAGUCCAAUCAACCAACAAAAAAAUGCUAUUGCAGACUUUUUCACCCUUUUGGCCCAUUUUCAUCUUGACUCUUGAGAGCUAAACCCUAAAAUAGUGUGGGAGCUUAAAAGUAAAGUUUGUGGGAGCUUGGCAAGAUAGAUUAACACUCAUUUCUUGGUUUUAUUACGGAUUUAAGGUAAAAAUUCACUCAUUUCUUAGUAAUUUCUAGGCUAAUUUUCAAAAUCUCAAAAAUCUUAGGGCUUGAUUUUAAACCUCAUUUUCACUUGAAUAAUAUUUUUAUAUUAUAAUUACUAGUUUUUCAUCAAUUUAACCUUCAAAACAACUCCGAUUCUUGAUUUUAAUCUAGAUUUCAAAGAUUUUACCCGGUAAAGCUCAAAAAUGAAUUUUCUUCGAUUUGAACCCCGUUUUUUACUCGAUUUAACUUGAGGUUUCAGCUGUAGGUUCCUAAAAAUAUGGGGAACAUAUUUUUGAAGUAAAGUUCUGAUUUUUUUCUUCUUUUUCGGAAAUCCAUUUUGGGGGCCCAUUUUGACCCCGAACUAGAAGUAGUCAAUAUGGGUGUCGUUGGUUUUGUUUUGACGCAUAUAUUUCAUAUUUGAUGUUUUUAGUAGAGUUUGAGAUUGUUCGUGAAAAGUAAGGUCACGGGUUCAAGAGUAGCGAACCGAUUUCGGCUUUAGAGAUAGGUUAUGGCUUAACUCUUCAGACUAGGCUGGGUAGUAAAUGAUGGUACAAAAUACAUGUUAAGGGUGGAAACUAAUCAUGAAAAAUGGCUAUCUAUGUGUUAUGCCCGUGUGGGGGCCUAUAUGUGAUGUAUUGUCAAAAUUGAGAUAUUAUGUGAUAUGUUUGACCGUGUGGGAUCCUAUGUGAUAUUGCCUUAAAUACAUGUGAAUAAUUGCAUUAUGUUGUUUAAUGUGGUAUCAUUGGUGUAUUAUGAUUAUAUCAUACUUUAUUGGCAUAUGAGACGUUGAAAUUCAUUGAUAAAACGAAAAUAAUAAGUGGAUAUUGGCUCAUAUGGUUGUGGGAAUGUAUCAUUGUGGUUGGUUAUGGAAGUAUAUCAUGUGAUUGGUUGUGGAAAUACUCAUUGUGAUUAGUUGUGAGCAUUACAUCUUCAUAUCAUACUCAUUCAUAAAACAUUGGUACCACCGUGACAACAUCUGAGAAACGCUAGCAACACUUUUUUUAAAAAAUAUUGUAACACCUUAUAAAACUCUUUCCGAGGGAUAUGCCGGAAAGGAGAUAUGAGAUAUGUCGAUUGUAUAUGGGUUGACGAACCCCCCAUAGGUCCUACGUCGGGAAGUUUUAGCUCCGUAGGUGUAUACAGAGAUUGUGCGACGAUCCCGGAGGUUGUGCGACGACCUCGUGCAUCAUCAUCAUUAUCAUCAUAUACAUUGCACUUACUUUAUUGUGUUUAUGUCGUGUUGUAUUGCCUUAUUGACUUGUCAUCUGUGUAUUUGUCUUACCUCCCUUUACUUGUAUUUGAUGAUCUUGUAUCUACGUGUUCUCUCUUGUUCUAUUUAUAUGUGACAUAAUGUAUACUUGUGUUCAAUAUCUUGAUGUGUUGUUGUAAUAUAUGUGAGAUAUAUUAGAACUGUUAGUGCAAGCGAUGUGGGCUACCGUUGUGGGACAUUUCCUGAUUGUAGGUGACGUGAUCUUAGUGUAUAUUUUGUAUGCUUUAUGUACUACUUUGCUUGGUCGGCCUGUGAUACCUACUGAGUACAAGUGGACCGUACUCAUACCUACUGCGCCCUUUCAGUGUAGGUCUUAGCUCGAGUGCGCCUCAGCUUGAUUGACUCAGGUGAUUGUUGGAGCUUCCAAGGUAGCGGAUUGGACAUUCAUGCGUCCGAAGUUCACGUUUAUCUUUUUAUAGUUAUGUCUUUAUUAGUAUUCGGAGACAGUUAUUAUUCCUUUGUGGUUAGUUUUUUUUGAUACAUUUGACUCUUGGAUUUUAUUAGUAGUUCUUACACUAUUGACACCUGGUUUUAGGCAUAAUUGGUGUUUUGGAUAAAUUCUUUCUGCAUUGUUAUGAUUACUUAUAUGAUUCGGCUUCAUUCUAGAAGCCUUACCGUGCGAUAUUUCUGUCUUUUAUUCUUUUCAUAUCAGUUUGGGUGAUAGGCUUAUUUGUCAAGGUACGCCGCGACAAGUGCCAUCUUGACCCUCAUUUUUGGGUUGUGACAAAUUGGUAUCAGAGCAGCCAGGUUUCAUUGGUCUCAAUGGUGUAAGAACAGGAUGUCUAAUAGAGUCUCGCAGAUUGGUACGUAGACGUCCGUAUCUAUCUUCGAGAGUCUAUAGGACAUCUUUAGGAAACUUUCCUCAUUUCAUUCUUUAUCGCGUGAAGUUCUUUCAUACCUUUUAUUCUGAGUUGUGUUUCACUCUUUCUACGCGAAUGGAGUUGCUUAUGCUACUAUCAGUUAAGAGAUGCUGUGAGAAAUUAGUGGAUAUAAUUUGUCGGUUGUAGGCUUGUUGAUGCUCCUGAGUUGUCAUGGGAUUAGUUUAUUGAUGCCUUUCUGGAGAGAUUUGUGCCUUUCAAUUUGAGAGAUAGUAUGCAGGACGAGUUUGAUCAUUUGGAGCAGGGCUCCAUGACAGUUGUUGAGUAUGAGGCAUGCUUUCAUACCCUGUCCAAAUAUUCCUAUGAUAGUAUUUCCACCGAGUUUGAGUAGAUACGAAGUUUGUAAAGGGUUUGAAUCUCUCUUUUUAGUUGGUUACGUCUCAGAUGAUUGUGAUUAGGGAUUCUUUUUAGAGUAUUGUGGAUUAUGCUAAGAUGACAGAGGGUAUUCUUAGUGCAUCUCAAGGAGGCGCCAAGAGGGUGCAUCAUUUUGGUAAGUUCAGGAGUCAAACCUCUCGAGGUAGAGAUUUUAGAGGUUCUCGUGGAUGUCAUGGUAGGCCAGUGCAGGUGACUUUAUAGAGUUCAGCUGGUGGAUUUUCUAAUUCAGCAGUUCAGGGUGACCGUUCGGGCUUAGUUGUACUUUCUCUUGUUGAGACUGGUCAUAGAGGUUGCUAUGUGUGUGAUGGGGUUGGCCAUAUGGCUAAGGAUUGUUCUUACUGUUAGAGCUACUCCUAUUUCAGCUGUGAGAGGUAGGGGUUCUACCAAAUGUGCAAUAGGUAGAAAUGGUAGAGCCGUGUUGGUGGUCGUGGGGCUACUUAGCCAGUUGGUAGUCGUGGAUAGUGUUACGCUAUAUCAGUCAGAUUUGAGGCGGAGGCUUCAGAUGUUGUGAUCGCAGGUACUGCUCCGUUUGUUUUAGACCUGCAUCUUAUUAUUUGAUCUUGGAUCGACUCUCUUAUGCAUCUGUGUAUUUUGCGUCGGGUUUUGAUUCUGUUACUGAGCUUCUUUCCAUGCUUAUUCAUGUAUCUACCCCGGUAGUAAUUCUUUAGUAGUGGAUCAGGUGCAUCGAUCUUGUGUUGUGACUUAUGCCGGGCGUGUGACUUUGAUAGACUUGCUUGUAUUAGACAUGAUCAAUUUUGAUGCUAUUUUGGGUAUAGAUUGGUUGGCUCCUUCUCAUGCCGUCCUAAAUUGUUAUGCCAAGACUGUGACUUUAGCUUCGUCGAGUGAGCCAAGAAUAACUUGGAAGGGUACACUUCAUUCGGGUCCUAAGAGGGUCAUAUCUUAUGUUCAGGCUCGUAAAUUGGUUGAGAGGGGAUGUUUGUAUUACUUGGACCAUAUUUGUGACACAAGUGUUGUUUCGCCUCAUUCCUUGGAUUCUGUCCGUGUUGUUCGUGAGUUUAUGGAGGUGUUCCUUACGGACUUACCUAGUAUGCCUUCGGGUCAAGAUAUUGAUUUUAUUAUAGAUGUUGAGUCGGGCACCAAGCCCAUUUUUAUUCCUCCUUAUAGGAUGGCCCCAACAGAGCUGAAAGGGCUGAGGAUCAGUUGCAGGAGUCGUUGGAUAAGAGAUGUAUUCGACCUAGUAUUUCACAUUGGGGUGUGCCUGUCUUGUUUGUGAAGAGAAAGAAUAGGUCUAUACGGAUGUGUAUUGAUUAUCAAUAGUUGAACAAGGUGAUGGUUAAGAAUAAGUAUCCUCUUCCUCGCAUCGAUGAUUUGUUUGAUCAGCUUCAGGGUGCUGCAGUGUUUUCAAAGAUUGAUUUAAGGUUCAGUUAUCACCAGUUGAGGAUUAGAUCUUUGGAUAUUUCGAAAACUGCUUUUCGGACUCGAUAUGGUCAUUAUGAGUUCUUGGUCAUGUCUUUUGGGUUGAUCAAUUCCCCUGCCACAUUCAUGGAGUUGAUGAACUGGGUGUUUCAACAGUAUCUUGACUCCUUUGUUAUAUUAUUUAUAGAUGAUAUCUUGGUUUAUUCCAAGAGUGAGGUUGAGCAUGAGGAGCAUUUGUGGAUUAUGCUUUAGAGAUUGAGGGAUAAGAAGUUGUAUGCUAAGUUGUCUAAGUGCGAGUUUUGGUUGGAGUCAGUUUCUUUCUUAGAUCAUGUGAUGACUAAGCGAGGUAUUAUGGUUGAUCCAGCUAAGGUUGCAGCGGUUUGUGAUUGGACUAGACCUACUUUGCCACCGAGAUUCGGAGUUUUACUGGCUUGGCUGGGUAUUAUUAGUGUUUUGUUGAGGGUUUCUCUUCCAUUACAGCUUUGUCGACCAAGUUGACUCAGAAAAAAUUUUCUAUCAAGUGGUCUGAUGCUUGUGAGGCGAGCUUCCAAAAACUCAAGGACUUGUUGACUUCAGCUUCUAUAUUGGCUUUUUCCAAGGAGGGUGUGGGUUUUAUUGUCUUUUGUGAUGCUUCAGGUGUUAGGUUAGGUGUUGUGUUGAUGCAGGAGGGCAAGGUAAUUGUGUAUGCAUCUCGUCAAGAGUAGAGCCUCAUGAGAGGAAUUAUUCUACCCAUGAUUUAGAGCUAUGCGCAGUUGUGUUUGCCUUGAGUUGUAGAGGCACUACUUGUAUAGAGUUUGUUGUAAGGUCUUCUCAUAUCAUCGUAGACUUUGGUACUUCUUUACCAGUGAGAUUUUCAUAUGAGAUAGCACUGUUGGCUUGAUUUGCUUAAGGAUUAUGACUUGACUUUCUGUACCAUCAGGGCAAGGCUAAUGUGGUUACGGAUGACUUGAGCCAGAAGUAAACUAGCAUGGGUAGCUUGGCGCAUCUUUUGACCCAGGAGAGGCUUUUGACCUUAGAGAUCCAAUUUUUAGCUAACCAUAUGGUUAGACUUGAUAUUUCGACACCUGGGUGUGUUUUGUCAUUUAUGGAGGUUAGAUCUUCUUUGAUGGAGUAGAUUCGAGUUCAUCAAUUUGACGAUGUUGGAUUGAGGUUGAUUCGAGAGAAGAUGUUGAGUAGAGAGGUUAAGGAAGCCUCACUUGAUUCAGAUGGAGUUUUGAGGAUUGGGGGCUGAGUUUAUGUGCCGAGAGUGGUGAUCAGAUUAGGUUGAUCUUGGAGGAGGCCCAUUGUUCUAGCUAUUUUAUCCAUCCAUGUGUGACUAAGAUGUAUCGUGAUUUGAGGCAACACUACUGGUGGGGUGGUAUGAGGAGAGAUAUAGCGAAUUUUGUAGCCCGUUGCCUAUGUUGUCCGUAGGUGAAGGCCGAGCAUAUGAGGCCUGGUGGAUUGUUGCAGAGGUUACCCAUGUGGAAGUGGGAAUGAAUCACUAUGGACUUUCUGACGGGGUUGCUUCGUACAACUCAUAGUUCUGACAGUGUUUGAGUCAUCGUGGAUCGAUUGACCAAGUCAACUCAUUUUAUUUUGGUUUAGGUCUCAUUCAGUACCGAGAGGUUGGCCUGUAUCUACAUUCGUGAGAUUGUGCGUCUUCAUGGUGUGCCGGUGUCCAUUAUUUCAGAUCGAGGUCUUGUGUUCACAUCUCACUUUUGGAAGACUUUUCAGGAUGAGUUGGAUACUUGGGUCGAUCUUAGCACAGCGUUUCACGCCCAAAUUGAUGCCAGUUAGAGCAGACUAUCCAGGUUUUGGAGGAUAUGCUUCACGCGUGCGCGAUGGAUUUUGAUGGCCAAUGGGAGCAGCAUUUGACUUUAGCAGGGUUUGCAUAUAGUAAUAGCUACCAUUCUAAUAUUGAUAUAGCUCCUUUUGAGGCGUUGUAUGGUAGGCGUUGUCGUUCCCCAGUAGGUUGGUUUAAUGUUUAUGAGGUGAGACCUUAAGGUACGGUCUAGCUUCGUAAGUCUUUGGAUAGGGUCCGGAUCAUUCAGGAUAGACUUAGAGUGGCUCAGAGUAGGCAGAAGCAUUAUGCUGAUCGUAGGCUUCUUGCCAUGAGAUUUGAUGUUGGUGAUUGCGUUUUCCUUCGAGUUUUACCCAUGAAGAGUGUGAUGAGGUUUGAGAAGAGGGGCAAGCUUAGCCCCAGGUAUAUUGGUCCAUUUGAGAUUCUUCAGACUAUUGGUGAUGUGGCUUAUGAGUUGGCUUUACCCCCCUGAUCUAUCAGUUGUUCAUUCAGUUUUCAUGUUUCUAUGCUUCAUCACUAUAUUCAUGAUAGUCUCAUAUCAUUCAUUGGGAUUCGGUUCGGUUAGAUGAGCAGUUGUCCUUUGUUGAGGAACCAAUUUCCAUUUUGGCUAGGGAUGUUAGGCGGUUGCACUCUAGAGUGAUCCUUGUGGUUAAGGUCCUGUGGCGACAUCGACUUGUAGAUGAAGCUACUUGAGAGGGUGAAUCUGAUAUGCGUAGUUCCUAUCCCUAGUUUUUCAUUGAUUCAGGUAUUUCCUUGACUUAGUUCGAUGACGAACUAGAUUUUUAGUAAUGGAUGAUGUAACGACCUAAAAAUUUAAUGAAAUUUGUGAUUUUGUGUGAUUUGACUGUUUGACCCCUCCCCGUAGUUGCAUUAUGAUAUUUCUGGGGCAUGGGAGUCAUUGACAUGAUUUUCGAUGUAUUUUGGUAUCAUUUAUGCAAUAUUGUGAUUAUUUAUGGCUUCGAGAGUCUUAUUUUGGACUUAUAUGGAUAUGUUUUUAUCCGUGCGACGCGUGGCUUAACGAACUGCGCCAGCAGCUCCGGAAUAUCGAUUUUAGGCUAGAUAGACCUUUGGUUCGGGUCCCGAUUCACCCGAGCUCAUUUCAACCUAUUGGUCUGAAAGUUAGAAAAUUCGAAAUAUGUGUGGGACCCACAUUUGAGCGAAACGAUCUCGGACGAAAAAUCCAACUUUGCCAGCAAAUCCGGAAUGUCAAUUUUAGGGUGUUAGCAUGUUUGGUAUGAUUUUACGGCUUUUAAAUCUCAUUUCGACCCUCGAUUUGAAAAAUUGUGAUUUCGAAUUUCGAGGGUCAAUUUUGUGAAAACGACACUUUCUGGAAAAUCUAGUAUUGCCAUCGCGUCUGGAACGUCGAAUUUAGUAUGGUUGCAUAAUUUGUUUGUGUAUAUCGAACUCCGAACAAAUCCCGAACAUCCCGUCGAAGUUCGAUCAACCAACAAAAAAAUGCUUUUGCAGAUUUUCUGCAAUAAAUAGCAGUUCUUUUCACUCUUUUGGCCCAUUUUGCUCAUUUUAAUCUUAACUCUUGAUAGUUAAAUCCUAAAAUAGUGUGGAAGCUUAAAAGUAAAGUUUGUGGGAGCUUGACAAGCUAGAUUAACACCCAUUUCUUGGUUUUAUUACGGAUUUAAGGUAAGAAUUCACCCAUUUCUUAGUAAUUUCUUGACUAAUUUCUCAAAACCCCAAAAAUCUUAGGGCUUGAUUUUAAACCCCAUUUUCACCCAUUAUCACUUGAAUAUUAUUUUUAUCUUAUAAUUACUAGUUUUUCAUCAAUUUAACCUUCAAAUCAACUCUGAUUCUUGAUUUUAACCCAAAUUUCAAAGAUUUUACUCGAUAAAGCUCAAAAAUGAUUUUUCUUUGAUUUGAACCCCGAUUUUUACUCAAUUUAACUUGGGGUUUCAGCUGUAGGUUACUAAAAAUAUGGGGAACAUAUUUUUGAAGUAAAGUUCUGAUUUUUUCCUUCUUUUUCGGAAACUCAUUUUUGGGGCCCAUUUUGACCCCGAACUAAAAAUAGUCAAUAUGGGUGUCGUUGAUUUUGUUUUUACACAUAUAUUUCAUUUUUGAUGUUUUUAGUAGAGUUCGAGAUUGUUCGUGAAAAGUAAGGUCACGGGUUCAAGUGUAGCUGACCGAUUUCGGCUUUAGAGGUAGGUUAUGGCUUAACUCUUCAGACUGGGUUGGGUAGUAAAUGAUGGUACAAAAUGCAUGUUAAGGGUGGAAACUAAUCAUGAAAAAUGGUUAUCUAUGUGUUGUGCCCGUGUGGGGGCCUAUAUGUGAUGUAUUGUUGAAAUUGAGAUAUUAUGUGAUAUAUUUGACCGUGUGGGGUCCUAUGUGAUAUUGAUAGCCUUAAAUACAUGUGAAUAAUUGUAUUGUGUUGUUUAAUGUGAUACCAUUGGUGUAUUGUGAUUAUAUCAUACUUUAUUGGCAUAUGAGACAUGUGAAAAUUAAUGGAUGAAACAAAAAUAAGAAAUGGAUAUUGACUCAUGUGGUUGUGGGAAUGUAUCAUUGUGGUUGGUUGUGGAAGUAUAUCAUACGAUUGGUUGUGGAAAUACUUAUUGUGAUUGAUUGUGAGCAUUACAUCUCCAUAUCAUACUCAUUCAUAAAACAUUGGUACCACCUUGGCAACAUCUGAGAAACACUGACAACACCUUUUUGAAAAAAUAUUGUAACACCUUAUAAAACCUUCUUCGAGGGAUAUGCCGGAAAGGAGAUAUGAGAUAUGUGGAUUGUAUAUGGGUUGACGAAACCCCCCAUAGGUCCUACGUCGAGAAGCUUUAGCUCCGUAGGUGUAUACGGAGAUUGUGCGACGAUCCCAUGCAUUAUCAUCAUCAUCAUAUACAUUGCACUUACUUUAUUGUGUUUUAUGUCGUGUUGUAUUGCCUUAUUGACUUGUCAUCUAUGUAUUUGUUUUACCUCCAUUUACUUGUAUUUGAUGAUCUUGUAUCUACAUAUUCUCUCUUGUUCUAUUUAUAUGUGACAUAAUGUAUACUUGUGUUCAAUAUCUUGAUGUGUUGUUGUAAUAUAUGUGAGAUAUAUUAGAACUGUUGGUGCAAGCGAUGUGGGCUACCGUUGUGGGACAUUUUCUUAUUGCAGGUAACGUGUAUAUUUUAUAUGCUUUAUUUACUACUUUGCUUGAUCGGCCUAUGAUACCUACUGAGUACAAAUGGACCGUACUCAUACCUACUGCGCCCUUUCGGUGCAGGUCUUAGUUCGAGUGCGCCUCAGCUUAAUUGACUCGGACAAUUAUUGGAGCUUCCAAGGUAGUGGAUUGGACAUUCAUGCGUCCAAAGUUCACCUCUAUCUUUUUAUAGCUGUUAUGUCUUUAUUAGUAUUGGAGACAAUUACUUUUCCUUUGUGGUUAUUUUUUUUGAUACAUUUGACUCUUGAAUUAUAUUAGUAGUUCUUACACUAUUAACACCUGGUUUUGGGCAUGAUUAAUGUUUUGGAUAAGUUCUUUCCGCAUUGUAAUGAUUACUUAUAUGGUUCGGCUUCAUUCUAGAAGCCUUAUCAUGGGAUAUUUCUGUCUUUUAUUCUUUUCAUAUCAGUUUGGGUAAUAGGCUUACUUGUCAAAAGGUACGCUGCAACAAGUGUCAUCAUGACCCUCGUUUUUGGGUUGUGACAAAGUUUAACACAUUUGAAUGAAAGAUCUCCAAUUUCAAUCACAGAAGAGUAACAUGCCAAGAUACCUGCAAGAUUAACAGCUCCACUAGGGGAUUGUUUGAGUUCUCCUGUCCACUACCUCUAGAAAAACUUUCCGCGUGUUGAGUGUAAUUUGUCCUAUAGCCUAUGCAUUUGAGCCAAAUGAUUGUGAGGUCUGAGUUCUUGCUUCUCCUCCUAAUAUAAGAUGGCAAAAGUCUUAAGCCAUAGUAAGUAAUAGACUUAUCAUCAGUAUAUUUCCUCUUACUGCAGUAUAGGCUUUAUUAAGUUCAGUUACGAACUGAAUCAGUCGCCUGUCCUGCUCAAUCUUGUGUAGACAUGCCUUUCCUCCACAAGUAUGUAGAGAUGUACAUUAUGUGUGGGCAUAACACUUUUUAGUUCUUCCCAGAGUUUUCUCAUCUUGUUAUAAUAUAAAGUGCUAUCCAUGCUUCUUUGAAAGAGGUCAUUCAAAAUUUCCGAAAUACAAAUAUUAAAAAUCAAAUUAUUUACAAUACAGCCCUCCAAUCAUUUACAAACAUUAAAAAUCAAAUCAAAUUAUUUACAAUACAACCCACCAAUAAUUUAAUAUACAAUCAACCAACCACCAUAAGAAUACAAACAUUAAAAAUUAAAUUAUUUACAAAAUUUAUCGAGGUUUCAAAUCCAAACUAUAAAACAUACAAAAGACUAAAAACUACAGCUCAUCAUCCGCAUCUUCAUUCUCAGCCUCACCCAUUCUAUUAUCAAUAUUUCGUUGACACCCAUUCUAUUAUCAAUAUUUCGUUGAUAUAUCCGGUUAUAAUCAGGUUCCAUCUACACAAUCAAUCCAAUGCAAAUAAUUAGUUCAAGUCACAAAAGUUCACAUUUUAAAUACCUACACCUAAACAUUUUCAAGUCACUAAUUCACUUCACAAGUUACCAAACUAUACUUAAUUCAAAAUGAAAAGUUUACGUUUUAAGUACCUACACUUAAACAUUUUGAAGUAACAAAUUCACUUGUCAAGUGACCACAGUUUACUAAAAUCAAAACGCAAGUUCACAUUUCAAGUACCUAAAUUCAAAACAAAAGUCACAAAUAUAUAAUUCAAGUACCUAAACAUUUUCAAGUUACCAACCUAAACUAAUUUCAAAAUAAAAAGUUCACAUUUCAAGUACCUACACGUAAACAUUUCAAGUCACUAAUUCACUUCACAGGUUGUCAAACUAAACUUAAUUCAAAAUGAAAAGUUCACGUUUCAAGUACCUACACUUGAACAUUUUCAAGUCACUAAUUCACUUCUCAAGUGACCACACUUUACUAAAAUCAAAACGCAAGUUCACAUUUCAAGUACCUAAAUUCAAAACAAAAGUCAUUAAUUUGUAAUUCAAGUAACUACAAUUAAACAUUUCAAGUCACUAAGUCACUUCACAAGUUACCUAACUAAACUAAAUUCAAAAUGAAAAGUUCACAUUUCAAGUACCUAUACAAAUAAACAUUUUCAAGUCACUAAUUCACUUCACAAGUUACCAAACUAAACUUAAUUCAAAAUGAAAAGUUGACAUUUCAAGUACCAACACGUAAAACAUUUUCAAGUCACUAACUCACAUCUCACACUUAACUAUAUUCAAAACACAAGUCCACCUUUCAACACAAGUCCACCUUUCAAGUAACGACACUUACAAAUUUUCGACUCACUAAUUCACUUCUCAAGUGACCACACUUAACUAAAUUCAAAACACAAGUUCACCUUUCAAGUAACUACAAUUAAACAUUUCAAGUCACUAAGUCGUCAUCACUUCACAAGUUAUCUAACUAAACUAAAUUCAAAAUGAAAAGUUCACAUUUCAAGUACCUACACUUAAAUAUUUUCAAGUCACUAACUCACUUCUCAAGUGACCAUACUUAACUAAAUCCAAAACACAAGUCCACAUUUCAAGUACCUACACUUAAACAUUUUCGACUCACUAACUCACUUAUCUAGUGACCACACUUAACUACAUUCAAAACACAAGCCCACCUUUCAAGUAACUACACUUAAACAUUUUCAAUUCACUAAUUCACUUCUCAAAUGACCACACUUAACUAAAUUCAAAACACAAGUCCACAUUUCAAGUACUUACACUUAAACAUUUUCAAGUCACUUAUUCAAUUCUCUAGUGACCACGCUUAACUAAAUUCAAAACACAAGUUCCCCUUUCAAGUAACUACACGAACAUUUUCGACUACCUAAUACACUUCUCGAGUGACCACACUUAAGUAAAUUCUACACAUUCAUGACAAUUUAUAUGUCAAAAGUCAAGACUUUAUUUACCUAUUAACUUUGUAGCUCUUAAAACCUAAUGUUACUUCCUAUAUUGUGUAACUAUCUCAUUACAGCUUCCUAAUAGUCACAUUCUUGCAAAUUUGUACCCACUAACACAAAAAAAUAAUGCACAUUAAUAAUAUAAUUUCUUCAAUAUUAACAUGUACACCAAUAAUAAGUUAUCCAGUAAACUUCCAUAACAAAACAAAGACUAUAUUCAAAAUGAAAAGUUCACAUUUCAAUUACCUACACCUAAACAUUUUCAAGUCAUUAAGUCACUUCACAAGUUACCAAACUAAACUAAAUUAAAAAUGAAAAGUUCACAUUUCAAGUACCUACACUUAAACAUUUUCUAGUCACUAACUCACUUCUCAAGUGACCACACUUAACUAUAUUCAAAACACAAGUCCACCUUUCAAGUCCCUACACCUAAACAUUUUCAAGUCACUAAUUCACUUCACAAGUUACCAAACUAAACUAAAUUCAAAAUGAAAAGUUUAGGAAUAUGAACUAAUAAGGACCUCAAGUAAAGAAAUAAUCAAAACUCCACUCAAAUUUAGUAUUUGAAAAUCCCUCCAUAUGCACACAAAUUUAAGUUCACAUGUGUACUUCAUGAAUAUCAACAAAUAGUUUCUCCCUAAGAUUCUUUACAAAUUUCAAGUUGGCUACAAAGCCUAUCAACUUGUAUACUUUUUACUCUUUCUUCAAAUAAAUUUCAACUUAAGGUGCAAUAUUAACAGGUAGCACCAGAAACAAUAUUAACAAUAGCACCUCUUUUCCUCUGAACCAUAUCAGGUAAAACAACUUGAUUAACCUUAGUAGUUCCUUCAACAUUAACUUUAAUCAAAUCAGCAAACAAUUUAUCAUCCACUUAAUGAAAAAAUCUAGCAUAAGGAUAUGAAACCCCAACGUUAUUAAUCAAAACCCCAAUAUCUAAUCCUUCAAUUAUCUCCUUAAUCUUCUUAACCCCUUCAUCCAAAUCACCCGAGAAAGCAACCACCACUGUCUUAAUCUCGAAUUUCCCAUAUUUAACCUUAAUUGAAUCAAACACAUCCUUAAGUUUAUCAGGAUUACGACCCACAAGUAUUAAAUUAACAAGUCCACCUUUUAAGUACAUCAGAGUGCCUAGCCAUUAGCAAACUAUUCACCUCUCUCAUAAGGCAUAUUUUAUACAACAGAAGAAAAUUAAAGUCAUGGAUGAUUAAGCCACCUUCUGGAUAUGAACUUCACUUUUGAAUCGAAGAAACAAUUAGAACUACUAAUUCCAUUUCAUUAACCAAUUAAAGCGCCAUUAAAGUAUGUCGGACACUACAUCCAUUCAAUAAGCAAUUUUAACUAUCAUAUGAUACAACUACAACAUAGACAAUACAAUAUUAAAGUAAGAGUAAAUCUUACCAAAGCUUGGCAUAUCCGCAGUUGAUUGAGAUUGCGAGGAUGAAGCUGGUGCAGAUUCUUUGUCAGACAACAAAAAACUUGUAGAUGGAGCAACAACACGAGUAGUUGAAGCUGAAGAAGUGGUCGCCGAAAAUGUCAGAGAAAAACCAGUCCCAGAAGUUGUAGAAGAAGCUCCAGUAGGAUCAAGCCAUGUGCCACCUGAUGCUCAACCUACUCGCCACAUGGAGAUCGGAGAGGCGGUGGCUCGUGGGAGUUCGCCGGCGAGGAGGGGAGAGAGAGAUCCUAGAGAGAGAGGAGCUGCGGCUGUUGAAGUGAGAUUAGGGUUAGGGAUUGUGUUUUUGGUAUAUUAAAAGGAAAGAGGGGAAAG
RNAcentral lists this long non-coding RNA (58072 nucleotides) under Capsicum annuum. RNAcentral describes it as "long non-coding RNA (CANN_LNC009600)". Lineage: Eukaryota; Viridiplantae; Streptophyta; Magnoliopsida; Solanales; Solanaceae. The record is from RNAcentral.